UGAAGGACAUUACUUCUUGGGAUGUUUGAGUCUCAACUUGUUUGGCUGAUGCGGUUGAUGUGGUACUUUGUGAGGUUUGACUGUUGGUGUUGGUAGCAGCAUUGUUGGUAGUAGUUCCAGUGGGUGUACUCGGUGUAGUGGGUGUACUCGGUGUAGUAGGUGUACGUGUAGUGGGUGAGGUGGGUGUACUGGGUGUAGGUGUAGUGGGUGUGGUGGGUGUACUGGGUGUAGGUGUUGUGGGUGUAUUGGGUGUAGGUGUAGUGGAUGUUCUCGGUGUACUGGGUGUAGGUGUAGUGGGUGUUGUGGGUGUACUGGGUGUAGGUGUAGUGGGUGUACUCGGUGUAGGUGUAGUGGGUGUUGUGGGUGUAGGUGUAGUGGGUGUACUGGGUGUAGGUGUUGUGGGUGUUGUGGGUGUUGUUGGUGUUGUGGGUGUUGUGGGUGUUGAGGGUGUUGUGGGUGUUGUGGGUGUUGAGGGUGUUGUGGGUGUUGUGGGUGUUGCGGGUGUUGUGGGUGUUGUGGGUGUUGGGCUGUCAUCAUCUUUUUCACCUCCAAUAACAUCAUUAACAUCAACGUCAAGCCCGAGAUUCGAUGUAUCAAUCGUCUUUCCUGCUGUCUCCACGGCCGUUUUCACAACUGUAACGACUGUUUUAGUCCAUUGCACCAAAGCCACGAUCAACACUUUCCUUUGCUUAUAUGUUACAGGCUGCGUACCAGCUUUCUUCUGCUCAAUCAAUGUCUUUCCCAUUGACAGUAUGGUCUCUCUGAAAUCUUUACUCACCUGUUCCACAACAAAGAUCAUUAAGAAAAUUAUAGAAUCUCAUUACUUACUUAAAAAUAUUAUUUAUGCAUAGGCAAGUAAAACAUUUGCAUAUGGCUCCUAAAACUUAAGAAAAGAAAAGGAAAACAAUCUCAGGGUUAUGGUAAUUGGUACUUACGUCUUUUCUAGCACCAGUCAAUACAGAUACAGCAUUGGCGAGGCCGUCGGCUUUUGUUGUUAGCUGAGAAUCGGUGGUUUUCGAAACCGUUGCCGUUUUGAUAAAGUUCACGUAAGAUAUGAACAGUGAAAAGAAAGUCUUGAACCCCUUAGUCGCGGGACAUCCACCUUUAAGUCUGUUCAACAAAAAUGUCAUACCUUUGCAUGCGAAAGGUGUAAACUGCAUUGCCUUUUUGAAAAACUUCCUCCUCAAGUACAUCUUUAACAAGAACGUUCCUUGCGCCUCGUAGAUCACACUUGAUACUAAUAUAAACAUCAGACAUAAUGCUAGUACGUUUUUAUUAGCCAUUUUGGUUUUUUUCUUUUUUCUUUUCUUUUUUUGUUAUAUAAAUGUUUUUCUUUCUUUUUUUGAGUUUUUGAUGAUUUGAGUUUCUUGGAGAGUUGUGUUUAUAUAGAUGGUUUGAGAAAUCUAUUUUAAGUGAAACGGAGAAAAUUGUGGAUUACUUUAAGGUCGCUAGAGAAUAAUAGCAUAAGUGGUUCUCUCAUGUUUCAUUUUCUUUUAUGAAUUUAUGUUGCCGUCCGCGUUUCUCUUCAUUCUAUAUUUAGAAUGAUCAAAUUAUAAUAUACUUGAGAAAUUGAUUUGUUCAACUGUGUGCAAACAAUACAUGCUAAAGUUUUGGUCAUGCUUGUUUAAGCUCUUGACUUAUCCGUCACACGAGUCACACCCAACAUGCGCUUGUUACAACAUUUUCGACUAGUGAUACUAUGUGUAUAUCUAAAUUGGGCUUUAAAUGUUGUUAGGUGGUCUGGGCAAGUUGCAAACUAACCCCACGGGGUUGUAUCUUUUUUUUAAGCUGAAGGCCAUUUAAAUUUUUUUUAUUAAUAUGUGUAUAUAUUCUGAUAACAAAUAGCACGUAACUUGAAUUGAAACAACGAGUAAAUACCUUCCAGCUAUGUUAUGUUAGUGCUCCUAUUAGAUUAGGAUGCCGCUUUUAUCAUAUGAGUACGGGUUAGACUGGCUAUCAGGAUAUCCAAUUACAUACAAUUAAUAUGAACUCUUAAAUACGAUUGUGUAUAAACUUCUAACUAGCUGUAUUGUAACAUUUAUGCUUCAGAACUUUUACUCGUCAUAUGUUUCAGAACUUUAAUGUUUCUUACAUUUUUUUUUGCUUUUAAAUGCAUGUGCAAACGAUUUUGUGAAAGGUUUAUGUUCGCACCAUUUGAUUUUCGAUCAACUGUUAACAAAAGAUUUUAUCGAUACAAAGAAGAGCCCCACUUGUAGAAAUAGUUAGAGAAGUUCCAAGGUGAGUCGUUAAUAGUGCCGGCCUGUUUGAACUGAAUUAUUAAAUACUAAUAUGCAUUCAUUUUCUCGUAUGCCAAAUAUAUAUGUAUAUAUAUUACGUAUUUAUAUGAACAUAACCUAAAUAUUAGUGUAUAAUGAAAAGAAUGAUCAUAAUUAACUGAAUUAAUCAGUUUAUUAAAACAAGGUUUAGUGGAGGCCAUCUAGUUCAUGUCUCCAAACGGCCAAACAUAACCAGACAGAAGACCAUUAAGCCACUAAGUAACCCAUUUCGCACUUUCCUUCCCUCCAAACUCCCCAUUUUCGAUAAUAUUUGCAUACUAUUCAAUAUUUUUGUCUUCAUUCAUCUUACACUUAGUUUGAUGUUUAAGGCGUAAACAUUUCCGUGAAAGUAUUUUUAUUCAAUCAUUGAUUAAAUGAUAAGUCUAAUGGCUCAUAUUGGUUGACGUUGGAAAGCGUAAGACACAAAGGGUGUGACUUUUAAAAAAUCGGAGUUUCUGAACCAAACAGAACCAAGAUUUUCGGUUUUUAGUCUUAGUUUGGCUACUUAGUACCUACUGAGGUUAAACAGAUCGAUAUUUAUUUCUUUCUUUCACCUCACAUACUUUAAAUUUAAAAACUGAUGACUAAUUACCACAUACUGUGCAUCUAAUUUACCUUUCAAUUUAGCUACCAGUUAACUGUGAAUGUUUUCAAGACAAGAUUAUUUAUGCUCAUAAAGGAGCUAAUGAAGAAGAGAAGAACUGAAUAUAAACAUAGCUCAAUGAGCUUUAUUAGCAAAAGAACUAAAAGAAGAUAAAACGUAAGUUGUCACCAGUCGCAAACAGAUUUGGUUAGCAAAAAAAUGUAGAAGGAGAAUUGCUUGUAAUGAAACCCUAGAACACAUGGGCUUAUGACUAUGCUUUGGGCUUGUCUUCAAUAUUAACGACUUAUAUUCAAGACAUUUAGCCUUUAUACAACUUUAUUAGCAUUAAGAAUAUGAUCACAUUAAAUAGCCGGCUUUGUGCUGAAUCAAAGUAUGCAUUUUUAAUGCCAGGCUAAACUUGGGGAGAACAAUUGUUGUCGUUUUCGUAUAGCUGCAGCAAAAAAAUAUUUGGAGAGUACAAUACAUGUAACUAAUGCACUAUUUCUGAAAUUAAGGCUAAUACUUGGGCUUACAUCUGUGUUUGAAAGCAAUAUGAAAUAUACGAAAAAGUUAGUGGAACUUGGUUUUAGUUUGGAUAGUACGAACUACUAAGCUUUAUUUAUUUUUGUUACUUACUUAGUUCGUGCCUUUGUGCCCGUGGAUUAACCAUGCUAUUUUGCAUCACGGAUUCUUAAGAAAAUCCUGAAAUUUCCUAAGACUAGAACUUAUAGUUAACACUGAUACACAUCAUUACAUGAGUUAUCAAAAAUUGAACAUAAUAUAAUGGAAGUUGGGUUAAAAAUGUUAUUGUUGAGUCUACGAAUACGCGUGGCGAAAUUCUUUCUUGCUUUUUUUUUUUUUAAUUUAGUAUAGUGAAAAUCAGAAGACACGAAAGACUGAGAAAAACAAAUUAUAGUCUAAAAAAAUUAACAAAAUCAAGAACAAAGGCUUAAACUCUCAACAUUAAAAACAACUUUAUCAGAAAUUUCACCCAAAAAAAAACUAAAUGUUAAAUUAAUAUCUCAACCAUAAACAUGUGUUUCAUCAUACAAAUCAUAUUUCUUUUAUUACGUCAAAAAUCUCGCCCUAAAAAGUAAUCCAUCAAAGUUAUUAAAAAAAGAGAGACAUUGGGAUGUUUUUACAUAGCACUAGUACAUGCUGCAUGCACCUAUUGAGUUACCAUCAUGUUCACAAUUUCACACAAUCAGACGGAGCAAGUAUGACAACAUAGACCUCCACCUUUGUGUUUCUUUAAUAUCAAACCUCAUUUGUUUAUGAUAAAAUCCUCUUUUCUGUUUUAUAACCAGUCAAACCAUACAUUUACUCACACAUAUAUUCGUAUAUAUAUUAUGUUUUCCGUCAUGUUUGAAUUGUACAUCGACUUGCAAGUUUCGAGUUUUAAUUUAAUGUUUUUGUUUAUACAUAGUGGGAAGAUUACACUGUAGUUAUUUAGGCCAUUUUUAUUAGGCAUUUAGGUUAUGCUAACAGUCAAUCACGAGAAUCUAGAUUGAUACAAGCGGACAUAGAUAUUAUUUGGAGUCUGUAACGUGACUUGAAUCAGCCAGCCUAUACGAAUAGUUUCAAAUCCAUGUAACCAUUGUGUCCACCUUAGGAUCUUUAGAGUGGGCAGGUAUAGUUAAAAGUAACCAAACUUCGAAUUUUAGUAAGAAAUAGGUUCCUGAAUAGGCAGAAAACAUUUUAUCAGUGACAGUAACUUUGAUCCAUUACCCAUAAAAAUACUUGAAUUUUUUUUUGUAACUUAAAAGUACUUAUAGUUAUGCAAUGCUGCUUUUCACAUUUGCCAUUAUCAUUUUAUUACUGCUUUGAAGUUACAUCACUUUUGAAUUUUUACUUUUAUACUAAAUUUAAGUUAUCAACCAUAAUAUGUUUAUCUUGUAAUAUCCAAAUUGUGGAAUAACUGGCUACUACUAAAUUUUAAAUUUGACUAAUUCUAAUAGUAAACAAUAAUAUGAAUAUCAUAAACAUACGAAAUGUCAUAGACAAUGAUGAAAAUUCAGGUUUACAUUUUUAUGCUUCCUAAUACUAUAUAUUAAAAAUCAAUGUGUUUUUUUUUUUGUUUUAGUAUUUUGAAAUAUUUUAAUGUAAAUCAAAAGAUAUUUAACAACAAAAAUCAUAUCUGAUGAGUGUCAAACUCUUUUUUUGGAACGUCCGGAGUUUAAAUGAUCCGGAUAAGCAUCGGCCUUUUUCUUCUUGGCUUCUUACCCACAAACCUCUUUUUGGUGCACUUUUAGAAACUCAUAUUAAGGAACUAUCUUUGCCUCCCAUUAUGUCCAAAAUCUGUAACACUUGGAAUUAUGUCUCCAACCAUUCCUCUGAUGAAGAUGGAAGGAUCGUUCUUAUCUGGAAAGAUCCGCUCAGACUGCAAGUUGUGAAGCAAAGUAGACAAUCCAUGACUUGUACGCUCACUCUCCCAAACAAAGAACCAGUUUAUUUCACCUCAGUCUACGCGGCUAAUACAAGUGAGGAAAGGGUGGAUCUCUGGGUUGAGUUGAUGCAACUUCACGCUUCUCUAAACCUUGACAGCAAGCAAUGGAUCAUUGGGGGUGAUUUUAACCAAAUCACUCACCCUGCUGAUCACUCUUCCCCAACUGUAAACACUCCUGACAACCUUAUGUACCAGUUGCAAGACUGCUUCAUUCAAUGUGGGGCUUUUGACCUGAGAUACAAUGGACCCCCGCAUACCUGGACCAACUAUCAGCCUUCUUACCCGAUUGGAAAAAAACUUGACCGUCUCCUUGUAAACUCCCCCACAAUCUCCUCCCAUCCUCAGGCUUUUGCCUCCUUCCUACCUCAGUUGUUCUCUGAUCACUCGCCUUGCCUGCUAGACCUCGCUUUUACCCUACCUAAAGCUGGAACUAAACCCUUCAAAUUCCAAAACUACCUCACCAAACAUCCCAACUUUCUGGAGGUGGUUUCACGCGCAUGGGUUGAGGCCGGAAACAUUUGUUCGACUCUGACACAGCUUUGUUGGAAACUGAAAAUCAUAAAGAGUGACUUAAAAAAUUUAAAUAAAGAGAACUAUUCUAAAUUUCAAGAGAGAGUUGCUGACACUUACAGUUUGCUUCAAUGUGCGUAGGUACUAGCUCUUCAAUCCCCAACACCGCUUCUGUUCCAACAAGAACGUGAUCUACAUCAAAAGUGGCUGUUCCUAAGACAAAUUGAAGAGAGUUACUUCAGGCAGAAAUCCCGGAUAAACUGGUUAAGUGAAGGUGAUUUCAAUACUACCUUCUUUCACCGCAUGUGUCAAGUUAGAGAAAGCUACAAUGCUAUCCGGUCGUUCCUGUCCAGCAAUGGAAUCCUGGUUACUGACCCGAUGGAAAUGAGUGAACUAGCGGUAGAGCACUUCAAAGCGAUUCUAGGUCCGUCAAACUACUUGAGACCUGCUAUCUGGUCCCCUCACUCCUGGUUUGCGGAUCUCAUUCAGUUCAGAUGUUCCCUGCAACAAUCCCAGCUAAUGUUAUCAGUACCAAGUGCUGAUGCAAUAAGAGCAAUGUUCUUCAAGCUAAACCCAAAUAAAGCUCCUGGGCCUGACGGAUUAACCUCUGGUUUCUACAAAGCAAGUUGGGAAACUAUAGGGCGAGAGGUGGUGGCUGCAACACAAAUUUUUUUCCAUUCUGGGUUCCUUCCUACCACAACUAAUGCCACCAUUCUUUCCCUCAUACCAAAGUUUCCGGGUGCUACAAAAGUUUCAGAUUACAGGCCAAUUGCUUGUCUAAACACAGUUUAUAAGGUGAUUUCAAGGAUGUUGGUUGCGAGAUUAAAGCCUAUCCUGCAAGACCUAAUUCUACCUUGCCAAACGGCGUUUGUGAAAGAUCGCUUGCUAGUGGAAAAUAUUGUUUUAGCUGGGGAGUUAGUUCAUGGCUAUCAUAAGAACAAAGGAAUUCCGAGAAUUACCAUCAAAGUAGACAUCGCCAAGGCUUUCGACACUCUCUCCUGGGAAUUCCUCUUCACUUGUCUUGAAACUCUACACCUGCCUCCUCAUUUCAUCACCUUGCUCAGGGCUUGUGUCUGCAAAACAAGUUUCAUGGUUGGUUACAAUGGAACGGUCAACGGUUAUUUUAAAGGCAAAAGAGGCCUGAGACAGGGAGACCCUCUUUCUCCCUAUCUUUUUGUAAUCGCCAUGAACUGCCUCUCUUUUAUGCUAAACUCUGCAGCUGCUCAGGAAAAAAUCAAAUACCAUGCUAACUGUAAGAAGAUGAAGAUGACGCACCUAUCAUUUGCUGAUGAUCUCCUCAUUUUCAUAGACGGCUCGAUCGAAUUUGUCCAACAGGUGCUGCAUGUUCUUAAAGAGUUUGAGCAAAGGUCCGGGCUCGCAAUAAGUAUGCAGAAAUCGAGCUUCUUUGCCUCAGGGCUCCCUGACCAAGUCAUUGACACAAUCCAAGCUUCUACUGGUAUGAUCUGCGGAGAGCUCCCGAUUCGCUACCUAGGGGUGCCUUUGAAUUCCAGAAAGUUAAACCUUGUCAGCUGUGAACCUCUGAUCCAUCAAAUAAAAAAGAGACUUUCCUCAUGGUCAGUCAAAUCCUUAUCUUUCGCUGGAAGACUACUGCUAAUAAAAACAGUGAUAGCAGGAAUUACUACCUUUUGGUGCUCGGCUUUCAUUCUUCCCAAAGCUUGCGUGAACCGGAUAAACUCUUUAUGUAGUGUGUUUCUUUGGAAAGGGGAUAUCACAAGCCACAACACCGCAAGGGUAGCUUGGGAGACUGUCGUGUUAACUAAGCAGCAAGGUGGUCUUGGUGUAAAGGACCUCCAAACAUGGAACAAAGCAUGCUGUUUGAAACUUGUGUGGCUUCUGUUUUUCAGGUCUGGCUCGAUCUGGGUUGCAUGGUUUAUAGAGGUAAUCCUUAAAGGCUCAAUACACAACUAUUGGACAACCAAACCGAAGGCUUCCUUCUCCUGGCUCGCAAACAAGUUGCUCAAGCUCAAAGAUGUAGUCUUCCCGCUCAUCAAGCUUCGACUGGAGAAUGGUAUGUCGGCACGGUUCUGGUUUGAUAAUUGGUCGCCUUUUGGAAGCAUUGCUACCUAUCUCAACUUGACUGGCUCAAGACUUGGCAUCCCACUAUCUGCAACGGUAGCUUCUCUCUAUAGGAACGGUAACUGGCGUCUCCCACCUGCAAGAUCAGAGCAACAAACCCAACUUCAGAUUCACUUGACGACUGUCAAUUUAACUUCAGAUAAAGACUACUUCGAAUGGGAAAUUGAUAGUAGGGUCACCACCACCUUCUCAACUGGUGAUGUCUAUACCUAUCUUAGAGGAACAGUGAAUGAGGUUGACUGGGCUACUGUGGUUUGGAACUCUUAUGGGAUCCCUCGUCACAACUUCCACACAUGGCUAAUGAUUUUGGAUAGGUGCCCGACGAGAGACCGCUUGCUUCGUUGGGGAAUCUCAGUUUCACAUCUCUGCUUGCUGUGUAACAAUGCUUCUGAGAGCCGUGAUCACAUCUAUUUCGACUGUAACUUCUCCUUCGACUUAUGGGCAAUAAGCGCGAGGAGAUGUGGGCUCACUCCAAACCGUUCCUGGUCAGACACCAUCACGCAACUGAAAAGCCUCCCAAUGGACCGUUCAUCGAGACCUCAUAGACUUCUUGUCCUCCUAGCUUGGCAAUCUACGAUUUAUUGGGUCUGGAAUGAGAGAAACGCACGGUUGCACUCUAACACCUAUCGCUCCAUCGACUCUCUCUUCAAAACUAUUGAUCUUCAGAUUAGAAACAGAACUCAGAGUUUCCGGGUGACUAACCCAAGACUGUCUUCCCAACUACUACAGUCCUGGAUCCGACUUGCAUGAUUUAAAUCAGGUCCCGAUCUUCCCUCUGAAAUCUCCGCCUCACCCCAACUCUUUCUGCGUCUUUUGGAAGAAAAAGACAAAUUGUCGUUCGGUUUACUCCAACUUUGAUUUUGGUAAUACGGGCCAUAUAUCAGUUCCAAACUAUGAGUUUUUUAGUGGGUUUGUAUUUUUAACUUAAGUCCAACGGGCUUGUAAACGUUUUUAUUUUUCUUUGCAGUUAAUUUGAAAGCCAAUUUUCAAAAAAAAAAAUCAUAUACAUGGAAAUAUGAAGGUGAGUGUGGAAAUUUCAAUUUAAAAAAUUUGGCAUCCGGAAAUUUCUAAUUGAUAUAAGAAAUAAAAUAUUAAAUUGCACUGAUUUUUUUUUUAAAAAACCUUUCAAAAUAGCUUUAUAUGUUUAAUAUAUUUAGUAUAAACUAAUUUGUUUUCGUAACAAUGUAAAGCUUACCAACAAUUCUUUUGAUUCUUUCAAAAUAGUAAAAUUAUCAUUCUGUAUAGAAUGAAAUCAUGUUUGGUUAGUAGAAUGAACUAAUAAAUAAAAGUUCAUAGAAAAUAAAUUCUCUAUACAAGAAAAAGACAAUGAAAUUAAACAAAAGGCCAUAAAAAACUAUUCCUUAUUUUAAGAAAUCGUUUAAAAAAGGUUAUAUCCGAAAAGUUGCCUCCCUCACGCCCCUUCAAAGGGGACGACUACAAGCUAGAAGGAGUCAAUGCAAAGAAAUUACUACCAAAUGGCAAAAGAAGUUUCUGUAGACUUUAUAAAGAAUGAAACAUUUCUGAAAAAUUCUUGAAUCAUUUUCUAAAACGCGACAUUCUUUCUGCGACUUUUCAGGAAGAGAGAUUUUGGAAACCAGACAACGAGGCUGAAUACGAACCAGAAGAAGAAUCUCGAUGAUGAUCUUGUCCUCCUAGCUUUAAUAAUCAUCCCUGGUUGGUCCUCACAAGAAUAAAUAAUCCUCUGUUUUGGUCCUCUGUUUUGUCUCUGUUUUGUUCUAAUCCUCUGUUUUCGUCCUCUGUUUCGUCUCUGUUUUUUUCACCAUUCUUUGCUGGUAAUUCGUUACGAUCUCUCUUUCGUCUUUUUUUUACGCAAAUCUCGAUAUAUCUCAUUGAUUUCACCAAACCCUUGUCUCCAAAUCUCAUUAUUUCAAUUUUCAUUCCCAAAAACAAAAAGAAAAUCUCUUUUUUUUAAAAAAAAAAAUCUGUUUUAACGAUUAUCAUGGGCUGUGCGAGCUCGAAGCACCACCGUAAGAAAUGCAUCCAUUGCCGGAGAGGAUAUUCUCCGGUAGACAUUCAGCGAAGCAAAUCUGUGCGCCACCCAUCGCAACGCUCCGACGAUAGCCCCCACAUGGUCCCUCUCAGCUCCUCCAGCUUCGGAUCUCUCAAGCUCUGCGACUACUCUUUCGGACAAGACCACAAAGACUUGCUAGACUUCAGCGGGAAGCUUGUCGCCGACCAAACGGGAGAUGGGUUUGGUCCUAAGGAAGUCAGAGAGAGGCCAGACAAGGAGAGGUCGAGUUUGGAAAUGCAGGCUAAGCUCAUGGAAGCUAAAGUAUGGUCAAGUAUGAUGAGCGGGAAGAUCCCCAAGAUUGUGCCCAAGACUCCUAUCUUGACGCCUCCGGGAGAGCCGGAGACGAUCAAUACUUGGGAGAUGAUGGAUGGGCUUGAAGAUGGACUUCGUUCACCAAACCACGUUAGCAGCUUCUCCUUUGAACUUGCUCGUGGUGGUGAUUGUGAACGUACCAAGUCGAAUUGUGAUCUAAAGCCAUUGUGGCUUCAGAUGGAGGAGGAAGAAGGGCUCGACGAUUUCGAUCCAGAGAUCAUUUCUUCGUUCAGGAAGUCUCUCCAAGAACUCCCUUCUAAUCAUCCUUUCCACAUUUCGGUUCAUGAUUUGAAACUAAACCCACAGUUUGAGUUCUCUGAUGAAGAAGAUGAAGAGGAGGAAGCUGUUGGUAAAGACAAAGUGAUACUCUACUUCACAAGCCUUAGAGGUAUAAGGAAGACAUAUGAAGAAAGCUGUGAUGUUAGAGUUAUACUGAAAAGCCUUGGGAUUAGAGUGGAUGAGCGAGAUGUAUCGAUGCAUUCGGGUUUUAAAGAUGAGCUGAAGGAGCUGCUAGGUGAUAAAUUUAGCAAUGGUGUUGGGAUCACAUUGCCUAGAGUUUUCUUGGGGAGGAAGUAUCUCGGCGGAGCUGAGGAGAUUAGGAAUUUGAAUGAAGAUGGGAAGCUUGAGAAGGUUCUACAAGGAUGCGAGAGGGUGGAAGAAAACAGAGAUGGUAAUGGGGUAGAAUGUGAGGCUUGUGGAGAUGUAAGGUUUGUGCCUUGUGAGACGUGUUCAGGGAGUUGCAAAGUGUACUAUGAAGAUGAAGAUGAAGAAGAUGAUGAUGAUGAGAGUGUAAAGGAAGGAAGAGAGUAUGGGUUUCAAACAUGUCCUGAUUGUAAUGAGAAUGGACUCAUUAGAUGUCCUCUUUGUUGUGUUUGAACAUACACAAAAAAGGGAAAACAUUAAUCUUGUUUUUGUUUGUUUUACUACAUUGGAGUUUUGAGUCGCUUGUGGGUUUUCAUGCCUCUACAGAUUUUGUUGUACAUAAAGAGGUUUUUUAUUGUGAAAAAAAAGAAGAAAAGAGUUAUAUUUUCAAGUAUAAAUUGUUGUUUAUUCUGUUGACCAAAAAAAAAUGUUGUUUAUUCUUUGAAGUUUCAUUCAUGCUUUACAUGUCGUUGGACUCAUAUAUUUGAAAAGGUAGUGGGAGUAGAGGAAGAAAAGUCAGCUUACAAAAUAUGACCGGAGAAAAAUAAGAAUCUUUCAAAAGUCAAGUUCUUGUGCUUUUUCUUUUGUCAAUAUGUCAAAACUCUUAUAUGCUAUGUUUGAAUAAUAGUCAUCAUUCAUAAAGCAUAGUUGAAAACAAAAUGUAGGUAUGUUUGUUUAAGGUAGAUUGUUAAGUUGUGAAGAUCCGAGGAUCAAGCAGAAGGCUGAUUUUAGUAGUCAGGUCCAAGAUGAAAACUUUAAUCAUAUAACCGACAUGAUUUUGAAUAUUUCAGACAUGAUUCGUUUAUCCUAGUAUUUUUGAUAACUCAAAGGUACAUGGAGACGAGCUCUGAGCAAGCAGAUUUCUACCGAGUCCGGCCUCAUGGAUUAGCCAAGGUCUCUUAGUGCGAGCUGUAGAUUAGUUUGACCACUGCGGUUUGCCAUUCGUCUUGCUAGUUCAGUUUAAGCUUAGGUGCUCAAGUCUUUUCUUGUUUUUGGUGAGUGUGUUUUGCUUUCUUUAGCUUGUACUUUAAUUGGAUUGUUAAUUAAUUAGCUUUUCUACUCGGCCCAGACCGUCUACAACUUAGCCCGUUAUGAAUUAACUAGACAAAUUUUUAGGGCCAUGGGUGUAUCAUCAUCGGUAAACUCUCCCGUGUUCAAAAAAAAAAAAAAACUCUCCUAACACUUUUAUUUUUUAAUCUUUCUCGUAAUAUCAUAAUAAAUCAGCGUUAAAAAAAAACUCUUUUAUUUUGACAAUUAAAAAAUACAUCCCUCUUACUUCUCUUUUCUAAUUUUUCAUAUUUUAUUUUUGUUUAAUAUUUUAUUAUAAAAAACGGAAGAAAAGACUAACCGUUGUGCAUGUACAUGCCUAAAAAAACUGAUAACAACAAUUUUAAAAAUGAUAGUUGUGUCCAGAGUUUCUUAUAAAGAGACUCUGGUCUCUUAUCUAGUCUCAGAGAAAAUACAGUCCUCUUGCUUCUCUUUUUUAAUUUUUCAUAUUUUUAUUUUUGUUUAAUAUUUUAUUAUGAAAGACGGAAGAAAAGACUAACCGUUUAAAAAAUAUUAUGAGCAUUUCUUAUGCUUGCAACAAUUAUUUAAGUUGCUUUUGUUUGCAAACUAUAAUUUUAUAUUAAAAUAAUAAAAUAUGUAUUAUUAUGUUACAAAUAAUAAUUUAUGUAUUUGAAGUUUUUGUCAAUAUUUUAGGACAGUGAACAAUAAUUUUAAAUUAUUUUUUGGUCUAUUUAAUUUUCAUUAUUAUUUAGAAAUAUAUAAUUUAUUACUUUAAUGGUAUAAUUGUAAUAUAUUAGUUAUUUUCUAUUUGAUACUUUAUAGUAAAAAUAAAUAUUUUUUAACUUUACCACAUCAGCUUUUUGGAUUACGUUUUUCAACCACUCAUUUUGAUAUAGACCUUGAUUGGUAGAGCAUUAGCAUUAGCACUAUGCUCUACAUUAUCCAAUCAACAAUUGUUAGAAAAGCAUUUAGAGAAACAUUUACUAAAUGCUAAUGCUCUCCAAAUGCUCUCUGGCCAAUGCUCUCAAAUGAAGCUUUUAAAAGAGCAUUUGUAUUUAUAAAUUAUAAAAUUAAAGAAAAUAUAUAAUUAAUUCAUUUAUUUUAUUUAAUAAUAUCAUAAAAUUAUUUUUAUAUCCAGAAAUAAAAUUUUUGAUUUUUAAAAUUAAUUGAAAAUAAAAAUAUUUUUAAAUAGUAUUUCACAUUUAAAAUAUAAUUUAAUUUAUAUAAUUUAAUUUACUUCAAAUGUGAAAUGUUAUUUUUAAAAAUAGAUAUUUUAAUUAUAAAAUUUAUUUUAAAAUAAUAUUUUUUCGAUAUAAACAUAAUUUUUAAAUUAUUAAAUAAAAUAAAUUAAUUUUAUUUCUAAUUAAUUUUAUAUGUUAAUAUAUAUAUAUAUAUAUUAGAAAUAUAUUCAUUAAAAAUAAAUAUAUUAUAUAUUAUAUAUUAAUUUUUAUAAUAAUUUUAAAUAGCAUACUCAUACUGCUCUACCAAUCAUCCUAUUAAACAAUUUAGCAAAAGCAUGCUUUUGCAGCAUACUCCUUCUAUAGCAUACUGCUACAGUGCUACUGCUAUUGCUAAUUGUUAUUGCUAAUGCUCUACCAAUCAUACUGCUACAGUGCUACUGCUAUUGCUAAUUGCUAUUGCUAAUGCUCUACCAAUCAAGGUCAUAUAUAGUAUUCUAAUCAAGAUGUACAGUAAACAUGUUUUCUGAUGACAUUACGCCUGAUGAUGAAUCGCCAAUGUUGAAUCUUAUAAAUUUCUCCGAUUCACCCAACCAAUAUCUUCCAUUAAUGGUAUAUUCUUCGCUUUCUCUUCCACAAUUGAAUUUUUAAAUAAUAUUGUGUUCUAAUUUAUCAAGGAUAAAAUCUUUGGAUAUAAAUGAAAUGCAGAAUAAUCUCCAAAUUUAUUGAAUGCAGACGGAAAGACGCAUGAAUAGUUUAUUGGAUUGAUCCAUGUGUAUAUGAUGAAUGAAAAUGAUCUCCUUAGUAUGUUUUCAACAGUUAAAUCUAAUCACAAAUCUAAUUAACUAGCAUUAAAUCCAGUUAUUACUACACUUUGACAUGGACCAUAAUCUAAGCUAAUAGCGCUAUUGACUGUGAUAGUGUGCUUAGAGCAUGAUUAAUCCGGGGUUUUUAGGAUGAGGUUCUUAGCGGAAGUUAAAAAACUGUUUCUUAACUUUUAACUAAAAAGCCCUUAUUUAAGAACCGGUUCUUAGCCUUUUUAAUUAAAAGUUAAGAAACAGUUUAUUAACUUCCGCUAAGAACUCUACUGUAAGAACCCCGAGUUAAUCAUGGUCUUAUAACUCAACGGUUUGGUCAUGUUAGGACCCAUGUUCUAAAACGCCGUCGUAGAGGCCAUUUACUCGCCGAGUACGCGGUAGGCGGUGAAGAACAUGAUUUAGUGUUUUUAAGUAGAAACCGAGUUGAUUUUGUGAAGUAAACGAGUUAAUUUAGUGAAGAAAUAGGUAUAAACUUUCAUGAUAACAAUGGCGGACACGCAGGAAAAUAAUUAGGUUAGGAAGAAGAAGAUUCGAAAAUUAUGUUUAUGAGUAAAAAAAGUCUAAAUGCAUGGGGGGGGAGAGUAUCGAACUUGUCUCUUGGUAGUUGUACAAGAGUGCAUUUACCAUUCUAGCAGUGAAAAAACAUUGUUAUCACUCAAUAUCGUUAAAUAUAUUACUUUAAAUUUUAAAUUUUUAAUAUAAAUAAAAAUAUAAUAUUAAAAACUAAUCUCCAAUUAAUCUCCGAAUAAACUCCGAGAUUUUGCUAACUCGCUAGGUCCAUAUCAACCGCCCGACUCACGCUUAACGCAAUUUCGAACAUGGGUUAGGACCAACACCAAACCCAUAAUUAUCAUGAAGAACAAGUCGAUUCACAUGAGUCUUUCUUACGAGAAACUCUUUUUAACGGGCAUUCAAGUGAACAACAACGUUCCUUCAGUCAAUCCAUGUUGAAUUUCCUUCAGGAGUCAAGUGUUUUCACAAUGAUAUAUAACAAUCUUUGGGAGGAUUUCAAUUUCAUAACUAUAAUAUAUUAAGUCUUUUGUCUAAUAAUUUUCAGAACCAAAGAGUGAUUGGUCAAAACCUCGAGCAAGGAAACAACGGAUAGUCCCUGUGUUGUGGCUCGUGUCUCUUUCUAUUGUUCUUUGGUGGUUGAAUACUUAGGGUUCUUCGAGGACAGUCCCGCCGUGUUCCCUCCAGGUCAUGAUGCUAGAACCUCGCUCACACUCGGAUUCACCUGUUUUUGAGGUGUCUAUUGACUUCUCCAGAUCUUCAUCUCCUUCGCAAUGCUCCGGGAUGCUUCUCUUGACUGAAUUGUUGUCUGCACUUAAUCUCUGGGUCGCGUGGCCGGAUAUGGGAGCAUUUUGACCGCCUGCGCUUGACCAUGAUACCUGCGUUUCAAAGCAAGUGUGGUCAGCUUUGAUAGUCAGGUUGUGAGCUUCCCGAGCGGUUAUUGGUGUUGUCUUCAACGAAGCCCACCUCAGCUUGCACCGGAUUGGGUGUUGCCGGCCCUCCGUCGUCGCAGCUUGAGAGAACCUCUGGGUUUGUCUUCGGCAUUUCAACACCGUUUUAGCCUACUCUUCGAUUCUUAAAGCUCAGCCUCAGGUAUCCAGAAAUGCUUGUGUAAGGUUCUAAUAGCUAAUGUUUAUUCACUUCGUCUUUUAACAUUAACGGUCAGCAAUUUCCCUCAUCAGCUUUAGCCAAUUUGCCAUAUGAACCUCCCAAUCCAAGGAUGGUUGACAAUUCAGUUGGGUAAGAUCAUCUGUCUUUCUCGUAUUUAAUUGCAAAUCAGAGAUUUAUGUCAGUAAUUUCUCAUAAUUAAUUUGAAAGCAACAAAAGAAACCCAGGAUACGAUCCCACUUCUAUUUUAUGUUUUUAAUUUUUUUCUAGUGCAAAAUUAUAUAACAAUUACGGUAAUUACAAUUUUAAUUAACAGUAUAUGAUUCUCUUAAUGUUUAUAUAUCUACUAGUAACAUUAGCUCUGUUUGUGGAAGAUUGGUCAUCCACAUGCAAAUUUUACUAGGUUUGUGCAUGAUCUAUUCACUCGACAAAAUCAAACCAAUGUGAUUUCUAUAUUUAGUUAUGUUCCACGAAGUAGCAAUUCAAUUAUAUCUAGACCACAAAUGUCUUUGAUGUGUUCUAGCGUGUAAAUUAAUUUUCAACUAUUGUAUCUAUUACAAGAGAACUAUUAAGUUUUCAUGUUUUUAGAUAUUACUAGGGGCGGCCCGCCCUACGGGCGGGAUGAUAAUUUAAAAAUAAUGUAAAUAGUUAGAGUAAAUAUUUAAUAUAAAUUUUUAUAUUUAAAAAUAUACAUAUUAGUUAAAUUAUGUACGUAUUAUUGUAUUUGAAGACUAAAUAUACCCUGCUGUCUUGAUAAGUAGUUUUGAUUUAUUUAUUUUUUCAUGGUGCCAUCACAUCAUUUUUGGUAAUUUUCUGGAGUUGGAUGAAUCUAAAGAAUCUCGUGAGGAAAGAAAUUGACUUGUAAUUAUAGAUUAAGUAAAUAUAUGAGUAAAAUUUAUUAUUAGGUCUGUUAAUUAUUAUUCAUGUAAACCGUAAAUAAUAAUACUAAAGUAUCGUAUCUCGACAUGUUGAGCCCCUUUUUAAUUUUUUUAUUAAUAUAUAUAUUGAUUUCCAUCAGAAUAUACGAAUGACUAUUUCUACUUAACAAUAUUAUGGAUGUACAAUCUAUGUUUUUUGCUUUUUUAAUAUUACUUUUAAAUUUUUCGUUUAUAAGUAUGUUUGAUUAGUUUAUAUUGUAUGGAUUAUAUUUUAUGAGGUUAUGUCACGCACCAGUUGUGUUGAUUUAUUUGAAAUAUAUUUAUUUUAUUUGCUGUGUAAAUAAGGUAGUACGAUAUAUUCCAUGGCUAUAUUGAACCAUUGGAACACAUUAAAUACAUAUUAGGAACUUUGUAUUUGAAACCAAUUAUUAGAAUAAUGAAUCAGUUUCAAUAGGAUGUUUUCCAUGAGAACAGGAAUUUAGUCAGAUAAGUCAGAGUCGUCUGUUGACGGAAAUUUAAAACAAAAACAGAGUCAAGAGUCUAAAACUAUUAGUAUUUGUAUUUCUGAAAACGAUGUCUUUGUAUAAUCUCAUAAGGGUUGGAUAUCAGAUUGGCUGCUGUUCCUGCAAUGUAAGUGAUUUACUCAAUAUUUUUUUUAAAUACCAAAAAAAAAACAACAACAACUGUUGUUAAUAAUAGCAAUUACUAACAUUGUCCAAAACAACUAUAAUAACUUCGACAAAGAGUUCCUCUAAAUUAAAACCUCUUUCUCCACUAUUUUAUAAACGCUGACAAAAAAAGAUACAUUGGUAUUUGAAAACUCAAGGUCAUUCUCUUUUGAACAAUUUCGAUUGAUUUAUAUAUUUACAUAUUAUAAUACGUAAAACACUACAAAAUCUUACAACUCUAAACUAAAACAGCAAAAAUACUAAGAAUCAGUCAUUUUUAUUUAUAUAAUUAGAAUUUGGUGUAGACAACAUAAUCAUACUCACACCCAAAUUAACAUAAAAGAAAAUUUACACAAAUUAUAUCUUUUAUAAAAACUGAUACAUCAAAAUUUAUUUAUUCUUAUAUAUAUUCUAGUUUGUUAUAUAUUGAGAAAUUGCAUCCUAUACAUACAACUUUUUUUCUUAAUUAGGUAAAUACCCAAAAUCCCACAUAAUGGUGCUUUGAUUGCUAGACACUAAAAUUUAAUGUUAUAGGUAGAUUGCUAAUAUUCAUAUUCUUUUUGUAUAAUGAGCCAAUUGACUCUUAUAUAUUCUAGUUUGAGAGUUGACGGGUCAGCUCGUGGAGCUCAUCAAUUCUUAAAAAGGAAAAUUUUGUUGACCCAAUUUGGGGUGUGAUGGUUGGCUUCCAAAAAGUAAUAUGACGAAGAUUUACAUUGUGUAUAGCCAAAACUAAUUUGAUAAUGAAAUUUUCACUAUAUAUAAUGACCGUUAAGGAAAUGAGGUAAAAAAAUAAAUGAUUAUUAACUCGUAGAUAUUCGAUCAAUCUAUUACCAAUCAUAUACUAAACAACAGAUAAAGACAAUGAAGCACAUUGAAAUGAGUAACAAUAUAUAUAUAUAUAACGUAAAAAUAUGGUUUAAUAAUCAUAAAUUAGAACUUAAUAGUUUUAAACUAAAACCUUUUAAAAAAACAAUGACCAAAAGUUUUCAUGCAAAAUCCAAUCACCAAGUGCAUAACCAUAUCAAGCCUUUCCACUGAUUUCUGAGGUUCGUAUACCUAAAGUAAACAAAUGCAAGACUACCCGAAUCACCAGUCAAAGAAUCUAUAUAAUAAGAGAAAUAUAGGAUGGAUGAAUUCAGGAUGAGAGAACGCACAUCUAUUUAUACUCAUAAAUCACACCGCCUAUGAGACUUAAGGAUCGCAUUGAAGACACAUCGUGGACGUAUCAAUCAGUGUGAGUAAAGAUUGAACCGUUCAUCUGCGGGUGAGGAAUCGAAAUCGUCAACACACGGCGGAGAAUGGUAGAAACGAACUUUCUGAUUGAAGAUUUGCAAAGCCUGUUGAGUGAGUGAUCAAAGAAUCGGAUCUCUUGUUCUAAAUGUUGAUAGAUAUUUCCGAUCGCAAAUCUAAAAUGUCAUAAUUGCAAGUAAAAUGAAUGUUUAUUUGAUAUUCGAAAAAUCAUUUAUUUAUGGGAAUAGUAUAUUUUUAUUAAAAUGAAAAGGAAGAAAAAUGCAAAAGAUAUUAGUAAUGGAAAGUCUCCGUUCCACUCUCUCCUCUUUUCCAUCGUCAAUACCUCUCUCCAUUUUCUUCACUGCCUUCAUCCUCCUGCUCCUCUCCUCUGUUGCCGCCGCUUUCCUCCUCUUACCCUGCUGCACGCGUUUCGGGCGGUUGGCUCUACCGAGAAGUCUCGGACUUCACCUCAUUGGCGAGACUCGGAUCUGGUCGGAGCUUACAAUACGGAGGAUCCUGGGCCUUAAAUUGAGGAGAAAAUUUCCCAGAAUCGGUUUUAAUGACGCAUAUAUUGGUGAACUGAUGAUUUGCUUAGCUGACCCGGAGUCGAAUCGGUUUCUUAUUCAGAACAAAGAGAAGCUUUUGGAUUGCUCUCAUAUUGUCUCCCUUCAAACGGUCAGAACCAAACCAUUUUGUACUCUAUUUCCUGCACUUGAGUUUCAGAGGAUUAUAAUGAUUUAGAUUUGAGGGGAAGAAAGUGAGGUGAUGAAUUUCACGAAAGUUUACUCCAUUAUUUAUAGGUACAGAUUCGAUAUUAUAGAAGGAUGGGUGUAUAUCGUCAAAAAAAGGAGGGAUGCAUUGAAUGUGGCGUAGUGGAAAGAGUGGUUCAAUGAUAUUGAUAAGAACGUUACUUAUGUUGAUUGACUGCAAAAGUAAAUCGUUCAGAAGUAAUAGAUUGAACAAUUAUUUUGAACGUUACUUUUAUUAUAUACUGUGAGUUUCAUACUCUGUGGACAUGUGUCACACUUACAAUAGCCUAUUUUCUGAUGUGGAUUCCUAGGUGGCAUCACCAAGAUUCAAACUCUUCUUUAUAUAUAAAGAUUUUGUGUGUUUUUGUGUUUUAAAACAUCGAAUCUAUCUUUUGGACUUCAUCUCUUCAUGCACCAUGGCAGUAUGCAAAGAUUGGGACGUCAGUCUUCAUCGAGAUCCAGGUCGUCCAACUUAAACACCGAAAUGCGUAUACGUUCAUCGACAAACUCAACCAUACCUCCACAGGUACCAUAUUUCCAUGCCAAAUAACAUUAUAUAUUCAUAAUCUUCUAAUUUUUUGCUUGAUAUGUUACUGGAAUGAUAAAUAUUGUAGCAUUUAAAUCUUGUGACCUCCAAAUAGAAAAACAAUGAGUUUAGUUCAACUAGACAGUCAUCAAAUUAUAUUGUAGCCAUUGUUGUAUCACCAAAAAAAAAAAUUAAUUGAUAAUAUGAAUUUCAUAGAGUGGAGUUUUGGGAUCUCGUCGAAGAAGUUAUGAAAGUCAAGUUCAAUUUGAAGAAUCAUCAUCUUUAACUCAACGCAGGGUACAAGUUCUUGUAACAUACAUAAACUUUUUUUUUUACAUACAUAACUUAUUCCCAAAAUAAAAAACUAAUGAAAGAGAAAUAGUAUAAUACAUUGAUUAAAUAAUGCAGAGGAUAACACCGGCAAGUGGAAAUGUUGGUUCACGUACAAUCUAUCCCGGUGAAGAAAGGUGUUUUCCUAUCUAUUGACAGACAAUUCACACCUUUCUCAGUUCCUUAUAUUUAAAAAUACAAUUUAUGUUUCUGCGAGUCUUAAUUCAAUCUGGAAUAAUUAAGUAAUGAUAUGUUAUCUAACAAAUACAUCUUUUUAGGAGAGCAUAUCAAAUAUAUGAUCCUAUUUAUGAAAGUCUCGGCCAAUAUAUUGAUCCUCAUAUGAGAUGUCUUUUUUUUUUGAACUGAGCCUCAUAUGAGAUGUUAUGAUCGAAUAAACGGUAAUUAUUAUUUUUCACUGUUAAAUUUAUGAGUUUGGUUGAUUGACUGAUAUAUAUAUAUAUAUAUAUAUAUAUAUAUGAAUUUUAUUUAAGAUUAAAUUAACCUUUUAUGAAGUUUGGCAAUAUUAACAUCUUAUUGAUUCAUGAUGUGUUAUUUUUAAUCUAUAGGUCGUUGAUCUAUCUUCAAAGACCUUGAAUAUGCCAAAAGGGUAAUAAUGUAUUGCUAUGGUCCCUCCUUUGUUUUAUGUUGUUGCAGCAGCAAGUGUUUAUGAUGUUUUAAGGGUUGAUGUCAGUUUACAUUGUGAUAUUGUAAACCUUAUCUGGAAAUCGCUUAAACAAGUAUAUUUGUUUUUCUUCUUUUAAAGGUUUUUCCUCCACCCCUUUCUCAUUAAAUCUUUGAAUUAAUGUAGUAUCAUAGAUUCAUAUAUAGUCCAUCGCAGCCUCUAUUCUUAUCCCUUUUCACUUUUAAUCUAUUUUUAUUCUUCUAUUGUCUCUGAAAAGCUACAAACUGCACAAUGUGAAGUAUUGCUAUGACAAUCAAUCUAAAGGCAAAGCUUUAUAGACUAGUUGAGCCUCAUACAUUAACAGAACAACUUACCGGUGACAACAAAGAGACAUGACGAUGACAAUGUUUUUUUGACUAAAUUUGAUGCAUUAAAAUUAAAAUAAAGUAACCAAAGUUUAACGAUGACAAUGUUAUUAAGAUAAGGUUUACAAAUGUUAAUAGCAAUAUUAAACUCAAAAGAAUAUUCCUUAAGCUUAGAGCUUGUCGACGUUAUUGUGAUGGUAUAUAUCACAAACUUUAUUUUAACAGCAUUAUAUCAUAUUUUUUUCUUUCCAUGUUAGCUCCUAUUGAUCACAUUUAACUUAUGCAAUGUAUAAUAUAAUUGAUUGCGAAGACGCAUUUCUUAUCGUUAACAGUUAUUUGUCGAAAGUAAUAUUAUUGUGUGAAAAGUGCGGGGAUGAAAUUUACUUGAUUGUUAAUUUUUUUUUGAAACCAAAGUAAUAUUACUCUCGGCAAACUGAUAUUUCGUCAUGGGACAUUUCUCAUACCCACAAAACUAGGGGUGGACACUUCGGUUAUUUUUUUCGGUUCGGUUUGGGUUCGAUUCAAUUUGGUUAAUUUGGUUCUAGUAUUUUUCAAACUGAAGUAAACCAUAGUUAGUUUAGUUCGUUUCGGUUUAUAUUCGAUCGGUUUGUAUUCGGUUCGGUUUGUAUUUGGCUUAGUUUGUUUUUUUGGAUCGGUUUAAUCACUACAAGAAAACAUAUUUAUUACAAGGGUCAUAUUCCUUGUUAAUUCAUUGUAAUAGAAGGGUUACAACGAAUUAACAAGGAAUAGCGUUUCGUUGUAAAACGUCCGUCGUAAUGCAAGAUUCGUCGUAACUUCCAUGUAACAUUUACGACGAAAUAAAUUCGUUGUAAAAGCGAAAGAGAGUAUUUCGUCGUAGUUUCGUAGUUACGCUUCAUCAUAAAAGACUCGUAUAGUUUCCUUGUAAAGUCGUCUUUAAGUACUUGUACAAUUUACGACGAAUUUACAAGUCUUUUAAUGUAAAGUCCUUGUAAUAUUUACGAGGAAUUUACAAGUAUUUCCUAGUAAAUUUCCCGUAAAGAUUACGAGGAUUUUACAAGGAAGUACUUGUAAAAUCCUCGUAAUCUUUACGAGAAAUUUACAUCUCAUUGUCAUAUUAUUAUAUUAUUAUGAAAUAUUCAAAAUCAAAAUAUAUAAUUUAUAAAAUAAAAUAUUGAAAAUUAAAAUAUUUUUUUAAAAAAAUAUAUAAAUGUCAUAAAAUAAUAUUCAAAUUAAUAAUAGAAAACAAAAAAAUUGAAAAACAAAAAGCUAAGGGAGAACGCCGUCGAAGUAGUUGUUGGAGGUGUUUCUUCUUGGAGAGUCUCGUACUUCAUCUAUGGGUUCCGUCUCGAAGAGUAGGAUGAAGUCGUCCUUGUGGCUUCAUUGAUGAAGCUUAUUCAUACCGUCAGUUCCAUCUUUUUAGGAGCCACCUUGAAAAAAGAAACAUAUUAAUAUAAUUAAUUACAUAAAAUUAUAAGAAAAUAAAAUAUAUUUAAUUUUUUUUUAAAAUAUCUAAUCAGUCGUUUAAAUGCCUCAACCUAAUAUUUGAAUAUAGUGUUGUUACCUAAAAUUACCACCUAAUCUAAUUAACUAAACUAAUCACCUAAACUAAUUACCUAAACUAACCACCUAAACUAACCACCUAAACCUAAAUUAAUAUUAAAAACAACAUACCUUUGAGAGAAGGAGAGGAGUGGUUUAAGAUGAAUGAAGGAGGCAUUCCUCAUUCAUGUUUCGAGUUUAUAUAAGAAAACAACAUUCCUCGUAAAGUCGUCGUAAUUUUACGAGGAAUCUACCAGGCCCGCGUUUUUAGUGGUACGAGGAAUCUACCAGUUCCGCGUUUUUAGAAUUACAACGAAUUUACAAGGAAUAUUUACGACGAAUUUACAAGGAAAAUUUUACGACGACUUUACAAGAAAAGCUUUACAAUGAAAUUACAAGGAAAGCAUUACAACGAAUUUACAAGGACACAUGUAUUACGAGGAAUCUACCAGGCCCGUGUGUUUUCUAUUACGACGAAUUUACUAGGACUAUAUCUGAAACCCCGAAAAUCAAAUCCCUAAACCCCAAAUCACUUAUCUAUUUACACCAUACCCUUUUACCACAUCAUCCCCUUUAUCAUAUUUUUUCUUAAACCCUAAACUCCAAUUGAAUCCUUAAAACGCAUAAAACGCAAGUUAUAAGUACUAUAAUCAAACAACCACUUGAUAGCAAAUAAUCAAAUUAUUUUGUAAUCUCUAAACCGAGGGUAUGAAAUGAAGUUAACUUGCUUGGCUUGAGAAUGCUUACAACAAAAUCAGUUUGGUAAAACAGCUUAAACACGUUUUCACCAAAAAUAGUGGUAACAUGUUUUGUGAAAAAAAUCCUUGUAAAGUUACAACGAAUUCACAAGGAAAGCAUUGCAACGAAUUUACAAAGAAAGAAUUACAACGAAUUUACAAGGACACAUGUUUACGACAAAUCUACCAGGCCCGCAUUUUCAGAGUUACAACGAAUUUGCAAGGGAGCAUUACAACGAAUUUACAAGGAAAUCUUUACAACGAAUUUACAAGGAAAUGAUUACAACGAAUUUACAAGGACACGUGUAUUACAAGGAGUAUACCAGGCCCGUGUUUUCCAUUACGACGAAUUUACUACGACUAUAUCUGAAUCCCUGAAAAUCAAAUCCCUAACCCCCAAAGUCUCUUACCUAUAACCUCAUAUCCCUUUUACCCCAUUCCCCCAUUCUCCCAUUUAUCCUAUUUUCUCUUAAACUCUAAACUCCAAUUAAAUCCUUAAAAGCCAAGAAAUAAUUAUUACAACCAAACAAUAUACACUUGCAUUAAGUCUUAAACUGAUUUAUAAAUUUUUUUAAAAUAUUUAAAACAUAUAUUACAUCAUUUUGAAUCAUUCGAGUUUUCAACAAUAUCAGUACAAUGAUUAUCAUCGCUUGCAUCGAACUCUUCUUCACUUUCUUCAUCCGUCAUAUCGUCGAAAAGAUCUUCACAUUGACGGUUAUCCACAUCAAUUAGAAGGAUGUCAUCAGUUUGUUGUUCAGAUACUUCCACUUCAGUGAUACACACUUCUUCUUGCAAAAGUGAUUCUUCUCUAGCAACUAUUCGUUCACGAGGUGUAACUUUGAUAGCAGCUAAUCAAGUUAUUCCAAAAUCUCUAAACCGAGGGUAUCAGUUUGGUAAAGCGUGCUUAAAACACAUUUUCACAAAAAUUAAUGGUAACAUGUUUCGUCGUAAAAGCCUUGUAAAGUUACAAGGACUUUACAACGAAUUUUCUCUUUCCUCGUAAAAUCGACGUAAAUUUACAUGUAAAUUACCACGAAACAUUUUCCUUGUAACUUUACUACGACUUUACGACGAAAUUCAGUUUUGUCGUAAAAUCGUAGUAAUUUUCUCGUAAAUUUACGAGGAAUAUAUUUUCUCGUAAUUUUUCCUCGUUAUAGGCAUGUUUUCUUGUAGUGAAUUAGAUUCUUCUUAGUUUAAUUUUUCGAAGAAAAAUUAUGUUUUACAACAUAAUUUGUGUAAACAUAAACUAUGUGAACUAAUUUCAAUAUAAAACUGAAACAAAAACCUUUAAAAGUCACAAAAAGUAUAUAUAAGAAUUAAAAAAAAUGAAAGUUAACUAAAAAAAAACAUCAUUAAUAAUGUCACUUAUAUCAUUAAAAUUAAAAAGCAUGGAAUGAAUGAAAUAUUUUAAAUCAAAUAUUUUGAUGAUUACUUAUUAAGUUAGAAUUAUAUAUGUUAAUGAAUAAAAAAUGGAAAAUAUGUGGUUUAGUAUUAGAAUUUUAGUAUAUUGGUAUUACUAAUAUUUUUAAUAAUUACAAAAACACAUCGGUUUUUCUGUUCGUUUCGGUUUUAAACAGAACCGAACCAUUUGGGUUGGGAAAAUCUUCAACCGAAUAGUUUGAAAUAGACUUUGAUUCGGUUUGAAUCGGUUUCGGUUCGGUUGGUUCGGUUUGACUCGGUUGGGUUCGUAAAUUUUGCCCACCCCUGCACAAAACCAAAGUUUUUCCAAAUAGAUUUAUCGGACGUUAAAUGUAGAUACCCCUCAUUACUUCGUCAACGUCACGUGCAUUUAUAGAAUGCAAUAAAUUAUGAGCCGGUGCAUACCCAAUAAAUAAUAAAUAUUAAAUAUUUUAUAUAACCGGGAUAAGGUAUAUAUAUUUGUUAGUAAUGAAUUUUAAAACUUUCAAGUAUUUUGAUAAGAGAUCAAUUUAUCCAUUAGGAAUAAAAAUAGUACAAUGGAUUAUUCAUUAUUUAUUCAUUCUGCAUUUUCUUCUAUCUUUUGACUGACACAAUCGAGUUCACACACCUCAGACCAUAAUUAUCGUCAACACGUUUUCAUAGGCUCAAAUUUUUUUUUGUUUUGGCCGACUUAAAAAAAAAAAUGCGCAUCAAUCGUGGACUGCCACGUAUCAGUGGAGUCCGCCAACGGUGCAAGAAAUAUACCAAAGUCAUCUUUAUUUCAUCUCUUCUAUUACCGUUUUUAACACAAAAAAGUGGACCCUACCACUUAAAACCCCCUCUCGUAACGAGCGAUAAUCCUGUUCUCGAUGAUCGAUAUUUUGUAAGCACAGAACAUAAUCAGACUAUAAUUAAAUGUAACUGCUGGACCGAAAUUCGGAAGCUCAUUAAAAACACGUCGCUUGAUAGUAUAUUAAGGACGAUCAACAUAUUACAUAUAAAUUAAUAUUUUCUAUUAUAAUAAAUCACUAUAUUGGAAGGUUACAUAAGCAAGCUUCUAAUGACGGCAGCUUCUUGGCUAUCUUCAUCAACUGAGUCGAGGAGCUGCGACAAACGGUCACUGAGAUUGUCAACUUUUCUAUGCAGCUUUCUUAUAUAGUUGCAUGUCUCUUGUAGUACCUUCGAUGCUGACACCUAAUAUUUAAUAUUAUUUGCAAACAUAAUCAAGACCACAUACAUGUACGGACAUCACGCAAACAUGAGUUUUUAGACGUUUCCAUUUGGUCAAAAUAGAAAACAAAUACGCUGUCAGGAGUCAAAAGUUUCGACGUUUAGUUUGAUAAAUUUGUGUUCCAUCUUCUUUUUAACGAAAAAGUUAUUUUCUUCCUUUUUAAAAGGGGAAAAACUGAACUAUAUAUAAAGAGGUCGGGCGAAAUUGAUGUUAUGCAUUUUACCUUGUCAGAACGGCGUCGUUCACGAAUCUCAGGCAAAAGAACACGGAGCUUACUUACGAGGUCGAUCAUCUGGUCAUCGGAGAUCCUCAGAGCACUUGAAGAUUGUCUUGAUCUUCUGUUAGACAUUCUUUGUAGGAUUUUACUUGUUGCUUAGUUGUAACACUACUUAUGUCGCAAGAAAGUGAAACUUAAGCUGCGUACUUUAUCUCUUUCUCCGGAUUGGACAAUAGAGAAGAGAUGGGGAGGAGUAGCAAGAGAUAAAAAGGUUAUAAUACUUAAUAAGGGAGUUAAGUUUAUGAAGAAAAAUAAGAGUCUAUAUAGCCAGUAGAUAUAGAAGGUUUAUGUUUAUUCCACGAGUUUUAUAUUUUGUUGAAGGUGUGGAAGCAGAAAGAGAAGAAAACUGAAAUGUAAGGAAGUAUUGUGUAAAGACACUUAGAGAUAUGAAGAAACUGAGAAAGUGAUAAGAGGGACUUAAAUAGGUCGAGGACCACAGGAGAGGGAUUGAGAGAGAAGAGAGAAAUAAGCCUAGACAAUGAUGUAAUAUGAGAGAAAUAGAUUUGAUAACCUCUAACCGAAAUCGUUUGAAAUAAUUUAUAGAAAACUUUUAUCUCGUGUAUAUAUAUACCUAGAGGGUAGAUGUGAAAUGGAUAUGUAAUAUUAAGAUCAGUAAUCAUUUUUUCUUGCUAACUUGUACCAUGCAAUAGUUUAUGCUUAUAGUGGUAUAAUAGUGACAUAUUUAUCUCUUACAAAAUAUAUGAGUGUUUUUCUGAUAGACAUUUAUCUAUGAAAAUAUCACAAAUUACUCGUAUUAUCCAGAUUGCAACAUGUUUAGCUAUCUCUAACAGAAAGCCAUAGCUAAGUUACAGUAAAUUUUAUGGAGAGAUCACUACCAAUUUUAAAUAUCAUUUGUUUGAAAACACAAAAACUAGUAAAAAUAUUGAUAAUUGAGGUUAUUAUAUAUAUAUGUUGAAUAAUGGAGGAGGGUUUGGAUUUUAAAUAGAGAAAGAUAUGAAAAAGCUGUGUGUUCCCAAAGCUGCUAUUGAAGUUGAAGUGGGAUUUAAGAGAAGUGUUCCAUGUUGAGCUAACAAUGUGGCCCUUUAUGUGCAUGUCGCUAAAAGGCAAUACCAUGUGAUGACAUUGACUUUCUAUAUUCAUUUCCAUUACUAUUUACUAAAUUUUCACAUUGUGUUAGUAUUAAGAACUAGAGCUAGUGAAUAAUCUAGAAAGUUCAUAGCUGAUCAUCUUUAAAAAAAAGAAGAAUAUAGAUCAUUUGUGUAUGCGUUGUGUUUAUCAAUGUUCGCUGAAUCUAAUUACUGAAGCAUUACAUCGAAAAAGGAUCAAGCGUGGACUUCCUUCUACCUUGAAACUGAUUACUCAAAAAAAAGUAGUCAUGAUAAGUUCGUCUUCUUCCUAAUUUAACUCUGUUUCGGAAACUUGAUUUUGUACACUUGAUGCUAAACGGCAUACAUGUCCCAUGUGGUUGCUUAAGAUCUCGGAUUAUGCCUCCUUAAUUAGAUUCUUAAUCAUGAUUACCACGGGAACAAAAUGUACUUAAUUACGUCCUUUGUGUGUGCAUUAUUUACAUAACAUACAAAAGUAUCAACAAAUUAGGGAAAAUGACUAAUUAAUUCCCAUUGAUUAUAAAUUUUAGUCAACUUAACCAUGUUUUCUUCUCCAAAAUCAGUGGUGUUGUGAUUCACAUUCCCAACGCAACAUACCUUCCAAAAUUACUGUUACAAAGUUUAAGUUAGGGAGAAGUUCGUACUUAUUAAUAGAUUAUAGUUUACCUUCUAGUUUAAAAUUUACAAAUGGACAUUUUAGAACUUAUGCUACAUAAGCUAAAAAGAAAACAAAUAAAUAAAAAUUACCUAUUUGAAAUAAUAGAAGGGAGAAUGAACAUCUUAAGCCAUCUUUUUAAUUUCUAAUUUUCCCAUUUUCACAUUUCAAAUAGAUUAUGACAUGGCUUGAUGAGAGAAACAUGUCAAGCAACAUUUUCAUACUAAUUAUUUAUUUAUUUAUGGUCCUUCAUGGGGACACCAAAGUAUGAUAUUGUUAAAGCAUUGCUUGGCUAAAUUUCACAUCACAAUGGUUAAUUGGACUAGUAUGGUUGUUUCAUUCUCUAUUUUAAUGAACUUAUUUUAAUGAACUUAUCAAACAAGUUUUAAUCGAUUAAAGAUAAGCAAUAUAACUAUAUUCUACUUAUUUUGAGCAGGGUAAAUGAUUUUCAGAUGGUAUAUAUUGCGAUUAUAACCGUUAAAUACAUAGAAAAUAUUUAAAGACUAAUUUGGCUCUUUUCCUUCAAACUUGAAUUUGUUUCUUAAAAUAGUAUUUCGCAAUUAUUUCUAUAGCUUUGGAUUUGGUUGAGGCAGCCAAAUAUGUGUUGAAUAUUCCACCUCUUCUUCCUAAUAAAUAUUUUGUAAAACUCACUCCAUUCUUUUGUAAAAUAAUGCAGAUAAAUGUAGACAUUGUGCGUGUAUAAUUGUAUGUAUGUAAUAUACAUAUAUAAUUAGUUGCAGGAGAUGUAACAUGCUAGUCCAUGUGGGUUUCGGGUACUAAAUGUUAGGCCGCUUAGGCUCCACAGUGUUUUUAUGUCCAACGAUCUCUUUAGAUUUUUCCUAUCAACUUUGGUCCAUUCAAACAUAAUGUAACAAAAUAAGAAUUUUAAAUAUAAGUUAAUGAAGAAAUGAUGAGAAAAGGCAGCCAUAUGCAAUAAUUGAAUUUUCGUAUGCAGCUAUAUACAGUAUUCUCAUUUAAAUAGUUGAAAUUUUUGGUAUAGUUAGGUUUACGCUGCGGAAUCAACGUCGUAGUUUAAGCUUACGAUUUUGCUAAAAUUCGUAAUUAUAAUAAACAGCAUGCUAUAAUAGUGAUUUAGACGAGUCAUCAAUACGUCUUGACUUUCUUAUAAGUUAUUUUUCUUAUAAGUUUUAAAUAGAAGAAUACUGUAUAAGAAAUGAUAUUAUAGGCCGACAGAAUACUUAAUGAUGUUUAAGCACACUUCACCUACCUAUAGCUUUACUCACAAACCGAUUGGUCAAUUUACCAAUAUAUAAUUGCUUUAACUCCUUACACCAACUUCUUUUUACCAACGUUGAAUUGUACUAACAACUUUAUGAUAUCACGUAACCGAGUUUUAUUAAUAUUACCGACACUAUUGCAAGUAGGCGGUGAAGUAUCACGAUAGCAAUAUGGACGUUGAAUCCAUAAAUUACCAUAACAUUGUAACAUAGUAACUAACUUAUACUAUACGGUGGUGAAUGUUAAAAGGUCUAAAAAAUAUUUUUUUCUAAUUAUAUCACAAAAACGUACUUAUUUUUCGAUUAAUAUACAGAGAGAGAACUCUUUUUUUAAACUAUGUUUAAGGUGGAAUAUUUGAAAAGAUAGAUGAGCUAUAGAAAAAUAAUUUACAAUGAUAUUAUGUGAAUGAAGCCAAUGCAUAGAGAAUAAUUAUGUAGACUGAUUAUGUGGUUAGUAAACAAAUAUAUAUUCGGAGUAUUUAAAAUAUUAACGUUCCGGUCAUGGAAGACCCAUACGGCCUAAAGAAAAAACGUUGUAGAUACAAGGAAAAGAUGGACAAAGCGUUGCAAAUAUUGUCACGCAUAAGAGAAACGAGAAAGGGGAUUAAAAACUUAUUAUGGGUCUAGUUGUUUUGGGAGUUUUCUCGUCGAUGAAGACUGUUAUUCUUAGAGUAUCAGAGUAAAAUUAUCGACUGAACCUCGUUAGAGUUUCUUAAGAAAAUGAAAAAUUAAUAUUUUAAUUAUUCAAUAACAAUUUGACUUUUCCUAAAUAACUAAAUCAAUAAACAAAGAGAACUUUUGAACUUAUGAUUGGAGAUGCUCUUAUGACAAGGGAAACGACAAUGACUUGACAUGGCGACAAAGAAUAUCAGAAGGAGAAGUUCGGUUGAGAAGGUUCGACGGUGAAAACGACAGCAUCUCGAUGACGAUGACAUCGUUGAAAGAAGAAAUGGCGAAUUUAUUUUAAGGGUUAAGUUACCUGUUAACUGAGAACCAAGUCCAUUUCAUUUAUCAAUCCCGCCUAUCCGACAGAAGCAGAACCAAAAUUCCUAAACCUCGGUUUGGUUCAAUAUUUUUUGUUAUGGAUAUCUGUUUCAUUUGUGCUCCAGCAUAUCUUAGCUUUCCCAGAAAGUAAAAGCCCAGAUAAGGCCCACUACUAAGACCUAUAUCGGUUUAUGUUUCGUUUCCCUACAUGAUGUACAUUUAGAUCUAUUACUCUAUUUUAUAUUAUACUACUAAUUAUAAGAUAAAUGCAUAUAAUUGUUUUAUGAGAUUUAUAAUCUUGUGGCAUUGUCUUUUUAUGCAAGGAAAAUCAUUAAAUAUGCUCAACGUUUCUAUUUUUCUACCCCAAGAGGAGAGGAUCCAUUUUAAUCGAAGCGAAAACUAUAGAAGAAAUGUGUUGAUCUAUCACAUCAAAUGUUUCCUCUUGGUCUUUUUGUUAAGUGGAUUUGGUCGCAUGCGUAGUGGCACGGGGUUGAUGACUUGAGAUAAUUGUCGAAUUAUGUAAAAUGAAUUAAGUUUGGUAAAGAAAAUGCAGUACGUUCAAUACACCGAACUAAAAUUCUAAAAAUCUUGUAUUCAUGGCGUUAGAUUAGUUAGAUUCGAAAUUAUGCUGAAAAUAGAAAAUUUAGGUUUUAGGAGGUAUAAUCGGAAACUAAUCUUAUCAAAUGAGCGUUUCAAAGAAAAAUCAGUUAUCAAAAGAGAUUAUAAGCAUAAAGUUUAAAAUUUCGUUUAUAUAUUUGAUAUUAUAUGGUAUAUGUAACUCUUAUAUCGCCUAGUGGUAAAGAACUCACAGUUGUGAGCACCGCACUGGGUUCGAUUCUCUUUGAUCACCCGGAACGUUUUAAGCAGUAAAAAAACGCGGAUCAUGCGGACCUCAUGGUGAUUAGUCUUUGAACGUAGAAAGCUUUUGGAAUUAUGUCACGGUUAUAAAAAAAACAUGUCACUUCUUUUUCUUCUUGUUAAAAUACAUUUUUAUUGGUUAAUCGUUUGAUACUUUAACAAGAUCCAAAUUAAGUCUGAAUUGAUAAUUAAUUUUUUCACGUAAAGUUUUAUGAACUUUCAAAUAUAAAAUUGAUUGACAAUAUGUAAUAAGUGGAUUAACUCAAUUUUUUCAUAUAUUGGUAUUAAUUUCUUUAAACUCUAAUGUAAGAUCUUAAUAUGCCCAUUCACAACCAAUAAUCAACCAUUUUUGAACCAUUCUAUUCGAAUCAACAAACGAGAUUCUGAUUAAAAAAAUUUAAAAUCAGUUAACAAUAAAGGGAUUAGUUCAAACCUUUUAUACAUUAGUAUUGGCUAAAUUAAACUUUCAAUGUGGGAUCAUAACACUUCACAUUUCGUUAUAGCUGUCUUUAAGAAUAUGCUUUUGUAUAUACGACAUUUACAAACUGAAAAUACGCGCCUACUACUGUAAAGUGAACACCCUACUGGUACGGGACACCUGAGGUGUCUCAGUCAGUAAAGUAGGGACAUUCAAUGCUGCUUCAUAUUCAAUCUAUUUCUUUAUUUAAAAGUGGUAUACUAUUAGUUGAUAAAAAAAAAGUGGUAUACUAGUCUAUUCGAAAUUAUUUUGAGGUUGUAAUGAUAACACUAACACAGUAACACUUUCCAUAAAAUUCAUAACUCGAUUCAGCUUUUCCUGAGGUGUUCAUUACUUUCUCGCAUGAGAUGCUUUUAAGUUUAUGUAAUCUAUAUGUAAAAGCUAUAUGAAUAUUUCCUAAUUAAUCAUUUCACAUUUGUGCUGAUUUUUUUUUUUUUUUUUCUGAUAACCGAAUGUCCUGGUCCCACCAAUGUGGUCCAGACUAGAGACUAAAACGACCAAAGAUCUAGCUUGCGCUGGUCAGUGACCGGAAUUCGAAUCCGGGUGGCAGAACUCAUAUCCGUGAAAUUUGAUAAAAAUAAAUUUUAAACUGCAAUUAACAAUACAUAAACUUAGAAAAUCCAAAUAUCUGGACUAUGAGAAAUCAAUAAAAUAGUCUGUGUUAUUGUUAUCCAUGCGUCAUCAUCCAAAUUCGAACAUUCAUAAAUAUUAUUGUCAAAAUAUCCAACAUGUAGACUAAUCAUAUUGAAGAGAUAAAAAUUAUAAUUACAAUAAGAAAGUGGUUUCUUUGGUUUGUUUCAUUUUCAUAUAAUUUUGAACUUAAUAUCCACACACACCAGAAAGGAAUAAUGAAAAAGGAAAUGAGUGAUUACAUCCUAACCUUUCAUCCACAACUAUUGGAAGAUAAAUCUACAAUAUCCUAUUUGAGAGCAAGUAACUCUUGGGUUAGUGGUGAGUUCUCCAAAGCUUGCGUGUUCUUUGACCCCUUAGUCCACUUUCAGUUCGAGUAUUAAACAUUGAUAAGCAGCCCAAUCUGUUUUAGAAAAUAAUGUAAUCGUAUAUUUGUACAUGAUAUGUUAAUCGUGGACUCACUCUAAGACCACUUGAUCGGAUUAAACUAUGUCUGAUCAAAUUCAAAGGACUCCCAACGUGUCCAACCAAUUCUGCUAAUGAACUUAACCCACUAAGCAUUUUUGCCAAAUAUUGAUUAACCAAAACGAAAUAUAGUUGAGUCUCAAGUCCCAGAGAGGGCACAUAAGCAUAUAUAAGCUUAUGCCAAAGAUAAAAUAAAAUAAAAUAAAAGAGGAACCUUAAAGAACCUUCAUAAACAAUCAAAAGCUUCAUUAUCUACACCUAUUCAUAUUAUCAUUAUAGCCCAUAUAAUCUUCCCAAAUAUAAAUUCUGAUAAAAUAAAUUACAUAAAUUCACUUUUUGUUCUUAAUCCAUCAAGCUUCAAAUCCUAUGAGUUUGAAGCUGUAACAGCCUUGAAUAAGCUCCCUCUGGUCGGCUUACAAGCUCAGAAUGCCUGCCUUGCUCCACAAUCCUCCCAUCUUGAAUCACACCAAUGCAAUCAACACCUCUUAUGGUUGACAACCUGUGAGCAACCACCACCGUAGUCCUACCUCUCAUGAGCCUCUCUAAAGCUUCCUGAAGCACACAUUCAGACUCAGCAUCUAACGCGCUUGUUGCUUCGUCAAGAAGCAACACACUAGGGUUCUUGAGCACUGCUCUUGCUAUAGCGAUCCUCUGCUUCUGCCCACCUGAUAACUGCACUCCUCUCUCACCCACUGGAGUCUUGUAGCCUUCAGGCAAACCACUGAUGAAACCAUGAGCGUUUGCAGCUCUAGCCGCCUCGAUAACCUCGGACUCAGUCGCACCAUCUUUACCAUAUGCGAUGUUGUCGAAGAUGGUAGCUGCAAAGAGAGCUGGUUCUUGUUGAACAAGACCUAUCUUCAGCCUCAGAGACUUUAGGUUUAGCCUGCGGAUGUCUUUACCAUCAAUCAUAACUUUACCAGCAAGCGGGUCGUAGAACCGUUCGAUCAUCGCUAUCACAGAGCUUUUCCCUGAGCCACUCGCCCCGACAAGAGCUUGGCUAUGUCCAGCUCGUAUCCUAAGGUUAAAGUCUGUGAACACCAUUACAUCCGGUCUUGAAGGGUACGCAAAAUCCACAUGUCUAAACUCAAUGUCUCCACGUAUUGUCUCGGCCGGAUCAGCAUCAGCAUCGUCCGGAUCAAUCCUUGUCUGCCUAUCCAACACCGAAAAAACCGAACCAACGGCCUCACCUCCCCGGAUGAUCUCAGGAGCAAGACUUACAGUUUCAGCAACAGAGUUUGCUGUAAUGACCAAAACCACAAAGACUUUGAUCACUUUGGAGAAGGUUGACUUGCCUUGGCUCACAAGGUGGGCACCGUACCAGAGGAUUACAGCCUCGGAUCCAUAGAGAGCAAGCUGGGAGAGGCCAAAGAGUAGACCUGAGGUUUGACUUCUGUAGAAGCUUCUUUUCUGAGGGACACGGAGCUCGUGGCUGAACAAGGAGAGGAUCUUGCUUUGUGCAUUGAAAGCUGCUACGGUUCUAAUGUUGCUGACUCCUUCACCAGCAAUCAUUGAUGUCUUUGCAUGAGCCUUGGCUGUGUCUCCAGCAAAACCCUUCAGAGAUAGUUGCUGCAAUAUAGAUACUUACUCAUCAGAACAAUUAAAGAUGUUAAACAAUGUUCAAGAAAUCGAUAGACAAUAAUUACGUGUUUUAUAGAGGAUUAUUGAUUAGGCGGAUACCUAUACCAAUUUUUUAGCAUCUAAACUGAUUUUUUUUUUAAUUAUUCAAGGAAAACUCAAUUUACCUAGACGCCUACUAAACCAAUUUUUAGAACACUGAUGUUAAAUAUUGGUUAACUUAACUAGAUUAGAACAUGAUGAAGAACCAUUCAGUUAAUCACACAUGCAAAACGUCAACACCAUCAAUUAUAGUGCAAGUACAUUGUAUCUCUAGGUCCUUGCGUGUGAAAUCUAUUGAUAGAUUUUCAUUAGAUAACGGGUGAAGAAUCUUAUUGACAUUUUGAAAAAAUGUUGGUGAUAUCUUAAGCAAAGUUCUGAAGCUUGCAGCUAGUAAAAACAAAAACUUGUCACAACCUAAUGUACCAAGCAAAGAAACACAAGAAAACAUGGACCAUUGGUUGAUUGUUUAACACUGACACUCUGACACACACACACAACUUGGAUGAGUAAAUAAAAAACGGAGACAAGAAAUUUGACCAAUGAAGAAAACAACAAUGGUUUUUUUGAAUAAAUCACUGCUCUUCUUACACAAUGCCUAGUAAUAAUUGGUUCUUGGUGUGAAAAGAAAGGUGGCAGGGUUUUUGGAUUUAUGUGAAUAUGAGAAAUGGGUUUAUAGGAAAUAUAAUUAAAAUAUAAAAGGGUGUGAUCAGAAUUCAGAGUGCAGAGAUAGAGAGAUUUAGGCCUGGCAAUAAAAUCCGGAACCUGAAAUCCGAACCCGAACCAAAAAACCCGAUCUGUUAUCCGAUCUGAAACGUAAAAAUACUCGAACGGGUUUUGUAGGGUGGUACAAAAAAUAUCCGAACCCGAAGUGUUAUUAACCGAAUCCGAACGGGUAACCCAAAAAAUCCGAAAUUAAUAGUCAAUAUAAAUAUUUUGAAAUAUAUAUCAGUAUUCUAAAUAUUAAAUUCAAUAUUUGUUGUAAUAUUAUAUAUAAUAAUAAAUAUUAAAAUUCUAAUAAAUGCUUUAAGUACACAAUUAGUUAUAAUAAAGUAUUUUAUAAUUUGCUCAUUGAAAUAAAAAGUCUACUCUCUAUAAGGCAAUACAUAUUGUUUACAAAUGAUGUUUGUUUUCAUGUUUGAUUUAACAUUUUAUUGUUAUUUUAUCAAUUUUAUAUGUGAUAGAUUAAUUUUUAUUUAAUUUAGAUGUUUUUCUUUAUAUUUUACUUCAAAAAUUUUGUUUUUUACUUUGGUUAUAUCUGAACCGAACCGAUAUAAUCCGAAUCCGUACGAUAUAUAAUUACUUUAUGGGUUUUAUGAUGCAAUACAAUUUUGAACCGAAACCGAAGUGUUAUUAUCCGAACCCGAUCCGUACUAAUAAAAUUUUAGUAUGAGACCUAGAAGCGUAAAUCUGAAAAUUCGAAAACCCAAAAAAUCUGAUCCGAAUGCCAACGAAUACCCGAACGACCUAGAGAGAUUUAUGAAAGCUUAAAGUAGGAAAGAUAUAGUAGAUGUAAAGUAAGAAGGUAGAUACAUAAAAAGACAGAUGAAUCUUAGCUAUUUUCAUGAACACUGCUAUCUAUGUGCCGUACUACCAAUAGAAACUAUAUAAUAAAUACUCUUCACAGAUGUAAAAGUCUACUUUAUUGAUGUGAGGGCUCCAUCAUCUUGACCCUCACAGUCACACUAUUCUAAAUAAAAGAGAAAAAAAAAGACUGAAUAAUUCUUUUAUGAUUAUUAUUGGAAAAGGAAAUGCAAUUGCAGAAGGCAGUGAAUGUGUUGACAUGUUCUAUAAAGUUUUGAACUUUUGCAUAUAAAAUAAACAAUAGUUUAGAAAACAUAAAAGUUAGUUACUCUUUUACUGCCUUUAACUUAAUCAAGUUUUGAAGUGCAGACUCAAUAGAUCAUAACCCUUAAAGAUUGUUUUAAUGUGCAUAUAGUUGCAAAACAAAGAAUUGAGAAUUUUGUUACCUGAGCAAAGUUAGCAAGGACUAGAAGUGGGAAUGUGCAUAAGAUGAGAAGUGAGACUCUCCACUCAAUGAUGAAAGCAACUAUGAAAGACGUGAGAAGUGAAGUCAUGUUCUGCAGAAUCACUGAGAUUCUCUCUGCUAUAGCAGAUUUAACAUCAGCUGCAUCAGUGGCUAACCUUGCAGCAAUCAAGCUAGAGUUGUGUUCAUCCUCAUCAAACCAACCAACUUCAUUCCUCAAGAUUGCUAAUAAAAAAAACAAACAAAAAAAAUCAAAAAUGGAACUAUAAAAAAAUAUUUCAAGAUUUUGAUACAUUACCUGAGAGCAUCAUUCUUCUUACUCUUGUUGUGAGAUUCUCCCCCAUGAUGCUAAAGAAGUAAUGCUGGAUCAAAUAAGCUAUCACAGCAUAGAUACCAGCACCAAUGUAGAUGAACACAUACUCUUUUGUCUUCCUCUCCAUUGAAACAUAGUCAGUGUAGUAGAACACUUCAAUCAUAUUACUCAUCACAAUAGCAAACGUUGGACCGAUAAAACCAGACAGAACCGAGCCAACAGCUCCCAUGAUUGAGUAAGGCCAUUCAGGUGCAUUAAGCUUGAGAAGCCUAUAAAAGUAGUUUUGAGGGGGACGAGUCUUUCUAUCACUCUCUGCGUUUGAUAUCAUCUCUAUCCGACCAUCAGCUCCAGUGCUGUAAGAGUAGCUCAAGUUCCUCAAACUCCCUGACCUUAAGCUCAGUGACUUGGUCGACAAGGAAUGGCUCAAACGUGUAGAACGAGUGCGACGUGUUGACGGGUUAGAGAAGUCACGAGUACCAACCAUCUCUUGAAACCUGAUGAGCGAUGCGUAAGGACCAGACUUAGCUAUGAGCUCUUCGUGUGUUCCGGUCUCAACAACUUGUCCUUGCUGUAUCACCGCGAUGGAGUCAACGUUACGUAUGGUGCAGAGGCGAUGAGCGACGACCACUGUGGUUCUCCCGACCAUGACUCUGUCUAAAGCCUCUUGAACUAUGCUCUCAGAGCUAGCGUCAAGAGCGCUCGUUGCUUCGUCUAGUAACAGAAUCUUGGGGUCUUUUAGCAUCGCCCUAGCGAUUGCGAUUCUUUGCUUCUGUCCACCUGACAGUUGAACACCACGCUCUCCAACCUGUGUGUCGUAGCCUUUAGGAAGCAACGUGAUGAAGCUAUGCGCGUUGGCAGCGGACGCAGCAGCUUCAACUUCGUCUAGUGUUGCAUUAGGUUUCCCGUAGAGUAUGUUCUCAAGUAUGGUUGUGGCGAAGAGAGCAGGUUCUUGAUUCACAAGACCGAUCUGUUCACGCAAGAACUUCAACUGAAGCGUCUUUAUCUCAACACCAUCCAACAGAAUCUUCCCUGCUCAUUAAAAAAAAGUUAUCAAGAUCCAUACACUAGGCAAAAACCUAGAUAAAAAGAGUUACUUGUUACUCAAGUUACCGUUGUUUGGGUCGUAGAACCUCUCUAUAAGGGACACAACAGUACUCUUCCCAGAGCCACUACCACCAACCACAGCCACGGUCUUCCCAGAAGGGAAGAAGAUAGAGAAGUUUCUGAAGAUGAUAACAUCAGGACGUGAAGGAUAGCUAAACGUCACAUCUUUAAACUCAAUGUUUCCAUGAACUUGCUCCAAGCAUUUCCCAUCCAACGGGUCUUGUACUAUAGUUGGUCUCUGGUUAAUUAUCUCCAUUAGCUUGUAACCAGCAGAUUUGCCUUUACUAAACGCUCCAAGAUUUGAGAAAGAUUGUCCCAAACUCCUAAAAACAACAUAGUCACAUGUUAAAGUCUAUAACAUAAAAACAUCAGUUUGAUGUUCUGUUUUCUUACAUUCCACCAACAAUGGCUGAGAAGAUAGCAGUGAAUGCUUUUCCUCCAUCUGUUGUUCCGCUCCUGAUGAAAACACCAGCGUACCAGAACACCAAGGCCCAUGACAUGCAAGCUAUUCCAUAAGUACAUCCUAAACCUAAUCCUUUAGCCAUCCCAGCUUUAUAACCAAGCUUAAGAGUGUACUGAAUCGCCUCUGAGUACGAGCUAAGAGCCUUGCUCUCUCCAACAUAUGAGUAAACAGUUCGAACCUGAGCAAUUGCCUGUAAAUUCACAAAAAAUAAAUAAAAAAAUUUUAUUCAAAUUAUAGCACACAAGAUUUUUUUUUAAAAUAUCCUAUGAUAGCACUAAAACACCUUUUUAGGUAUUUUAUAUUUAAAUUUGAUUUUAGCGACUAAUUAGGUUUUAAUAUAUAGAAAAUGAGGUUAGUGUAAAGAUUUAUGGUUCAGAGUAAUUUAGUCAUUCUACCUCUUAGAUUGUGCUAUUUUAGAGAUUUUUCUCUUUGUGUUAUUUUUGUUAUCGAACUUUUUUUGUGCAUACCUAAAAGAUUUAAGUUAAAGGUUAAUUAUUACAUGAAACCACUGUUUAAGUCCUUGUUGGAUUGAAAGACAAGGAAGAGAGACAUAAUCAUUAGAGGGAUCAAGUACAACGAGCAAGCCUAAGAACAGUGUAAAGCAUAUUAUAAAGAAAAGAUCUUUUUCACCUGCUCGGCUAUAACACCGGCGUUUGCGUAAGACUCACGGCUCUUGGAAGUGAUGCCGGUGAGAGUGUAAGCGUAUAAACCGCCUGCGAAUGCGAUUCCGGGAAUCACCGCCACACUCAACAAAGCUAGCCUCCAUGCUGACACAAACCCAACCACAAGCCCCGCCAAAAACGUUGACAAGUAAUGUAUGAAGUUCCCAACCUGCGGAAAAAAUAGAAUGAUAGUAUCAAGCGCACGUUAACUCAGUUUUGCUAUCGUGCACCCGCCCGAGGUGCACGAUAACUGACUGUUUGCUAACGUAAACGGGACACAGAUUUUGUACUUGGUUACCUUCUCGCUGAUGGCGUCUUGGACAAGAAGAGUAUCGGUAGAGACACUGAAGACAAUGUCGCCAGUUCUUGCAUCGGUGUCGAAGAAUCCAACGUCUUGUUUCAAGACAGCUUCAAGAUACUUCUUCCUUAACGCAGCUACUUGUCUUUCUCCAGAGUACAUCCAACAUGCAAUCUCUGUAUUUCAUAAUAAUAUUAUUAUUUUUUCAAAGCGUUAUAAAUGUGAAAGAGAUUUCAUUUUGAUGACGGCAUAAUCGAUACAGACAAAGGAUGAGUCCAUGACUCAAGUAGUCACGUGGUCUCGGCUUACCCUCCACUUUUUACAAUUACACACUAAAUCUAAAUUAGCUAAGAUAUAAAUAUUUUUACCCUUUGAUAAAACGUUUUACCAGUCAUUUUCUUGCUUGAACACUAUUUUUGACAAAAACUUAAAAAGAAUUAUUUUAUUGAAUUUUUCUAGAACAUUUUAAACUCAAUUCAUAUAUAUAUAUAUAUAUAUAUAUUUUUUUUUUACUAUAAAAAAUUAUAAUCAUAUAUAUAUAUAUAUAUAUAUUUUUUUUUUACUAUAAAAAAUUAUAGAGAAGUAUUUUGAUCCAUAGUAUGUUUUUAUUAAAACAGUGAUAUUUUAUAUUAUUAAAUAAUUUCUGUCUCGGUUUAGGAUCUCUUCUUAACCUAAUUAUAUAUUUUCCCUUUACAUAAAAUAAUUAAGCUCUAUUAUAGAAACAUAUAUUAAAGCAAAAUUCAUUUAUGUAAUAAAAAUUCUAUUUAAAAUUGCAAAUAUAUAAAUGGAUUAGAGGUAUUGGUAAAAAAAAAUGGAUUAGAGGUACUGAUUAUAAAUUUUGGAUUUUAAAUUUGAGGCAAACCUGCGUACGAAGAGACGCAGACAACCAAACCCAAGUAGACAAAGUACAGAGCAUACUGCAAAUUUUAAGACAUAACACAACAGAUCAGAUCUUGAAUAUAUAUUUUAAUUAAAAUAAAAUUAAACGAGAGAAAUGAGAUGAUUUGAUUUUUUACUUUGGAGACUUCAUGUGUCAUUUGGUGUAAAUCCAUCUGGUUCUUGCCGAAUCCAUUAACCAUUUCACCGAAAAGCAAGAAGAAGACAGGCAUGGAGGAGCCGUGAAUAAUGGCGCCUAUAGAGCCAGUGAUCAUUAACAGAUGAUCAAAUUUAUCAGCGAAUGAGAAGAGUUUGAAGAACGGUAAGCUCUGUUCUUUCUUUUUCUCGGCUUCAGCCGGAGGAACCGGCUUUGCAUCUGCCGUUGUCUCUGACAUUUUUGUUGAGUGAGAUUAAGGAAGGAGAAGCGAGUCAGACACGAGUUGGCUCAGAGAGAGGAAGAGAUCAUUGGCAAUGGAGGAGAGAUCCAGAGCAGAAAGAUAAAGAAAAUAAAUAAUAACGUUUUGUAUUUUAAAAAAACUGACAAUUGAUUUGUGAGUUCGAGAACUCUUUAUGAGUGUUUUGUUUGGGAGUGACGAAAUAAAAGAAAGAAAUGGAGAGAGAAUGAGAGUGUGGAGAAGGUGUGAUGUGUGUAUAUAAUGGAGAGAGAGAGAGAGAGAGAGCCAGUGUUAAAGAAGACCAGUGGUCAAAGACGAUAUAAACAUUAAGAGAUGAGAUUUGAUCCAAAAAAAAAUUUGAUCAAAAAAAAAAACAUUAAGAGAUGAGAUAGAGAGAUAUUCGUAUGUGCUCGUGGACUGGGAACUGUAGUUUUGCUGUAAUUAAUGUGGAGACUAAGGAAAAGAAACUGCAAGUUGAAAAUAAGAAGGUCAUUUGAUGUUAAUUACUGAGAAAUACUCUCUUUGUAUGACUUUAAAGAAAAAAAAAUUGUUUAGAAAUAGCGGAUGUUCUCACUAUUUUAGAUAGAAUUUAAUAGCAUUUGAAUUUUGUGACCAAUUACAAAAUACUGUUUUUUUUUCUUAUUGAUUAAAUUAGUUUCAUUUAUUAACAUCUUUAUGUAAACAAUGUAAAUUGUAUAAAACUUGGAUUUUCUUAAGGGACAAUGUGUUGAAUAUACCCAAUUAAGGUCCAAAUUAGCUGAAUGCCCAUGAUUAUGGAUAACCCAAAAAGGAGUAACCUUUUGACACUGUGCGGACGAAAAUGCCCUCAUGCUUUAUCGAAAACAUGUAACUCCAGAUCUAUCAGCUAAAUAUUUACAUAGCAGGUAACAAUCUACAUAUCAGCUAAUAAUUUCAGUAUCAUCUAACAAUCUAUGUAUCAAACAAAUGUAUCGGCUAACAAAUAAUAUAUCAGUUAAUGAAACUAUUAACAAUUAAUUAGUUAUCUAUCAAAUAGCCCCAAAUCUAUUUGUAACAGCUAACACUCCAUGUAUCGAUUAAGAAUCCAUUAAAAUCUAAAUAAUAGCAGGUAAGUAAUAAAAUACCUACUAACGUAUAUAUUAUCUAAAUAAAAGAAUGUAGAUUUCAAGCUUUCUUCUUCCCGAGAUCUUCCGAUAUCAAGCUUUCUUCUUCCCAAGAUCUUCCGAUCCUUUCUCCAUGAAUCCGCAACAGAGAUAACAGAUUAUUCGAUAAUCGCACAGAGAAUCGUCGAAUUUCCACAAUCUUCAAGAGUACUACAACACAUACAUUUUGCGAUUGAAAGCUUAUAAAAGUUGAUUGUGAUUCGAAAUUGGAAACAUUGGAAUUGGGGUGAGAUAAUAAGAUUAGCAUUAUGGGUGUCAAAAGAAUCAGAAUAAAAAAAAUAAAGAUUUGUGUUGAAUUAGAAGAUGAUUUGAAGAACAUGUAUGAGAGAUAAAGAGAUUAGAACACAGAAAAUGGAGAAGAGAGAGAUCUAGAGAUAAGGGUAUUAUAGUCAUAAAAAAUAUUAAAAAGAAACAAGAGUAUAUGGCAAAUUAUAUAGAUUUUUGGGUGUGUCCACACCAAUUUCUCUUUUCUUAAUUCAUGUGCAAAAACUUUAAAAACCACUUAUAUUGAUAUAUUGUGAGUAAUGAAUUAAUGUGUUUUUGGGAGUACUAUAAUUUGUCGUUUCAUAAAUUAAUGAUGUAUUCAAAUUAAUAGUUUUGUGAACAAAUCCAUAUUUUGUUUUUUUUUUAACAAAUUCAUAUUUGGUGUAAUUCAAUUAGUGGUUUUGAAAUACAUGUUAUAGAAAUUUCUAUAACAAAUUUGAAAGUACAGCUCUGGUCAAAAUAUAAAGACACAAAGUGUUAGUUGACAUUAAUGUUAAAAUCUAGCAUAUUUAGGUGUAUAAUCCAAUAAAAAUUGUGAUAAACUAAUUUUGUUUUUAACUAAUGAGAACUUGACAUAGCGCUCAAAAUUCUUAGAUUAUCUUAGUAUUUUUUUUAACUAAUGAGAAUUUGAAAUAGCGGUCAAAACUCUUAGAUUAUCUUAGUAUUAAUGUCUUUUUUUUUACAACAAAUCUUAGUAUUAAUGUCUAAGGGGUAAAAUGUUCAAGUAAGUCUCAUUGCGAGAGAUUUUUUUUUUCAAAAAAGAAUGAAUUUAAAAUAGUUAAGAUCUCAAUUUAUAGAAGUACAGACCUACUAUCCCAAAACCUCUCUUAGUCAUUAAGAACAUGAAUUUUUGUAUAAAAAGAUUUUUCAUUAGUUUGGUUUUGUAGUUUUAUCUUUUAGUUACAAAAAACCCACCAAAGUUAAUCUGGUUGUAUAUCCUUUAGUUAUUAUAAAUUUUAUAAUUUGUAUAAAAUUAUGUAUUUCUUCUAAAAACGAUGUCAUUUUGAUUUUGAAUGAAUGUUAAAACAUUAUAUUAUAAAAUUGUGAUUUAUCAGAUUAACAGAAAUCUGUUGAAAGAAAAAUGGAAGCAAGGUUUAGAGAAUUAACUCGAAGGAAACAAAAUUAUAAGACAAAAGCUUUGUACUUGAAAAAAUGAUUAAAAUAGUUGAAGGAGGAGAACGGGUGAAACACCUGAAAAACAAAGAAGUAUAUGAAGAAAGAAAAACGGGUGAUAUUUGGUUUUUUCCAAAGGCCACUAAUCUCACUCUGUUACCAUUUAACCUAGUAAAUUUAACAAAGACGAGAAGGAUCUUAUGAGCCAACAGACUGGAAGAAAAUUCCGAAACUAAUAAUUUAUAUUUGAUUCAGAAAUUUGUAAUCCAUAAAUUAAAGUUUGUUUCAUGGACUUAUCAUUUCAUUUGUUUUUAGUAUGCCAUGAGUAUGAUUCAGAACAAAACCAAACUUAGUAUUGCUGAGAGAUCAAAUUUUGUGAUGCUAAGACUAAGAGCUCCAUUUUAGUUCUUAUACAUGUAUGGGUGUCCUAUAUAGCCUAAAAACAUGAUCACGCUCUAUUUGAUUGAUGGAGAUAAAUUUCAACUAUUGAAAAUCAAUGUGUCAUCUAAACAUUUAACAAUUACAGGACAUAAACAAAAUGAUUCAAAUAUAUCUGCUUCUUUCUUGCUUGUAUGGGACUGGCAUAGUUUAUAUAUUUCCAAAUGUCAUUUUUAUUGUUAUAAAAAUCUUAAGUAUAAGUUUUAUCUUCUUUAAAAAAAAGUAAGUUUUAUCGACAGCAUUAUCCAUGGACUGAGAUACAUAAUGUUAUUUUAAUCCUAAACAUUGAUAAUUACUUUGUGAAGAGUGAGUUUUAUUGUACCUCUUUUCAUCAGUUUCUUACUUUGUUCCUGAUUUUUCUUUGUUAUGAAUAAACAUCAUAGUACAAGUAAAUUUAACAUUUUAGUAACAAAAAAUAAUAAUAAUCAUAAAACAAGUACUCAGACCUAUUAGAGCAUGUCUAUCCCUAAGAACCCCGUAUAGAUGAUCUCAACCUCUAAAUAUUGAUAUUAAUCUAAUCUGUUUGUUUAGUUAAAUUUUACUAGUUAGAGCAAAUAAACCAAUCAUAUAUGGACCAAUGGUACCUGAUGUUUUCAUGACUAUUUCACCCUAUCUCAAAUAAGAACCCCAAUUCAUUUUUUUUCCUAAUUUUCUUAUAUUUCUUUUAUUUUAUUGAUGAGGUAUUGUUUGAGAAAUUCGCAAUGAAGUUGGUCUUUGAUAGUGAAAAUAGGAAAAUACUGAUACUGAUAGGCCAAAUGCCAACGACAACAGAAGAAUAAAUAAAUGUAUAAAAUAGUAAAUAUGUGGAUUCGGUCGUUAGUGCACCCCUUUCCUCGAGCAAAGCAUCUAAUUUAUGCUAUAGUAUAUCAAAUUAAUAUUCCUAUAAUUAUUGUUUAACAUAAGAUUCAAAGAUUGGGUUGAGGCCAAAAUCGGGGCAUGUGAGUGUUAAAUAAGAUAUGGUCUAUGGUUUACUGCUACUAUGAUUCCUUUUUUCUAACUUGAUCCAUUGAUGGAAAGUUCUUUUAUGCUUUAUAACACUUAUUUUCCAACAUAAUGAAGAUAUCGUGGUGUAUUUUAACGAAAUGUCUUUUAUUCUUUUUGAGGAAGCAUCGAUGUUUGGUAGGGGACACAACAUAAAAUAACAACAAACAACCCUCAAACAAGUUUCACUGAUUUUGAAUCGUUGAUUGUCACUAGAUAUUGACAUUGUAUCUAAAGGUUGAUUGAUUGAUUGACAUAAACAAAGAUCAUGUUGACCAUGCUUGCUUAUGUCGAAUUAAAAUUCGUGUGGAAUAAGUGAAUAACUUUUAGAAAUGUAUUUGACAUAGUGACCGUUUUUCACUAAAUAAAUUAAUAUCAAGAGAUCUAGGUCUUGUAUCAUAUAUAAAAUAUAUUUAAUCGUCUUGUACAAAAAAGGACAUGGUUAAAUUUUAAUGGAUUAUUUUUGUUGUUUGCCGAACUUAAUGAACCCUUUUUAAAGGAAAUAAAGAAAAGAAUGUAUAACGGACGGCUGGUUUGAUGAUCUUUGUGAGAUUUCGCUUUAUUAUAGGCACAACUUUAUUAGUUGUAAAAGGUACUUAAAACUCAGCAAAAGAAACUUUCGACUGUAUACAGUGCUUAUAGGUAAUAGAUAAACCUAUUUACAGAUUGAUAAUCACCACAUUCCAUAAAUAAAUCUGAUUAUAAUGGAAGUGAGUACAUGAAUUAUAAUUAUAUAAUUUGAUUCAACCGAUAGCUCAUAUAACAUGUUUGAGAAUUAUUAUUGUUUGCCUUUAAAUGGGUAUUGUAGGGUCCAACGUUAAUGACUUUUCCUUUGAUACAAUUAUAAUUAAUUAGUUUGUCUUGGUGCCAUUGUCACCUUUGAAUCAUACUCUUUAUAAUAUCCCAUUUUUCCUAUAAAAAAAUCUCAAUCUAAUAUUUUCAUUAUACAGAGAAAGAUCUCUUAUCUUAUGCUUUAUUUUGUUCGGCAACAUCCGUGAUAUUAGGACCUACGACCCUAAUUUAUUUUUCUAACAUGGUCAUGUGCUAAUUAUACUUUCUUAAUUAAUAAUUAUACUUUCUUAAUUAACAAAUAACCAAAAGUGAGUUUUCAUAAAACGUGAUUUUAAGUUUGUUAACAAGAAAUAAUUCAACUGGUUUUGCUUUUCUGUUUGAAAUGGGUAAACUCAUUUUGCUUAAUAUGAUAAAAUGUACAAUUGCCGUUUUCAUAGAUUCCCUACCAUAUAACCAGAUGGCCAUCUACAUCAAUUUCGCCUUCUUCCUUUUUUGGAUUCGGGUAUAUAGACAUGUUGGCUAAUGUCUAAUGAUGAUCAAAGAUAAUACCAAACUUGAAGUUUUGGUCGUCGUUGUCAUGUAACAUUGAAAUGCUACCGACGAUGUGUCUGGAGUCUGGACUAGUGAUGUAACGUAAUGAAUUGGAUCUAUUGUAUUCCUAAUUUGAUUUAUGUUGGGAGGGGUGAUUUACAUCAUAUCAUCAGAUAUUAACAGCGGGUGGUUUCAGACAUAUAAGAAGAUUAGGGCCUAACCAAACUUUUCCCUGCUAACAAAAAACGUCAAAUGAUAUUAGAUAAGAGGCAUAACGUAUAUAUAUAUAUAUACAAUGAAUAUUUGAGAACUAUAUAUUUGAUACCAAAAUAUAUAGAUAAAGAGGCAUAACAUAGAUAUAUGGUGUUAAAAAAAAAACUUAGAUAUAUAAAUAUAUAUACAAUGAAUAUUUGUGAACUAUAUAUUUGAUACCAAAAUAUAUAUAGUUUUUUUUGUUAAAGGGGGGGACGACGAUUUGUGACAACUAUGAACUGUAGUUUACUCACGGAAUUGAUAGUUAACGUGAAAACUAUGGAUAAGCAACGUACAAACUGUAGAAGAGUAUCAUAAGUUUGUUUAUCAAAUGCAAGUUUACAGUGGCUUGAUCGCGUAAGUCCCAUAUUCGACGAUGAGUUUCACUAUUUUCGAAAGUUUGCAACAAAAAGUUUAUUGUUCUUGAAGAUUAUCAUUUCAUAAUAAGUUUUUUCACGCUUUAUCUUAGCUUGCACAUAAUAAAAACCAUAUACAUUAGAUCAAAAUUCACGGUAUUGAAAGCCCACUUUUAGUAAGAUCAUCCACACAAAAAUUAUAUAACAAUAGUAACAAAAUAAAAAGGAAAUGAUGAUAUACCCAAAUUAAAGGUAUAAUGAUACAAUGCACAGGAAAGAGAGAAGGCCUUUUAGAACAUGCAUUCCCUUUAAUCUGUUAUUAUCGCUAAUGUCCUUUGCCACGAUCCUUUACACUAAAUUUCCUCUUCUUUUCUUCAUUGACAUUGCCGUAAAGUUGACACACACCCAAAUCUCUUUUGUCAAUAAGAGAUAAAUCUUUCCGCAUUGCGAGCCGCAAAAUAAUAGUAUAUAUCUCUCUUUCCGCCGAUGUGUUAGUACUUAGUACAAGACUACAUAUAUAAAAAAAUAAAUAACCAAAAGAUGUUAGUAAGAAUAACACUGGCCAAUAUGCCAAUGGCAUUUGGCAAAAAAAAAAAAAAAAAAAAAAAAUGUCAAUGGCUUUGUUGCAAUUUGCAAGAACACAUAUACACUGUCGAACAGAAAUUACAGAAUGAACAAUAGUAAUUGGGCUAAAGGCCUAGUACAUAUUGUUCAAAAAUCAGGCCCAAGUAAAUAUGUUAUAAUACAAAGCUUUGUAUUUUUGCACUGACAAAUAUGGAACAACUUGGAGGACUCUUUGAGCAAGACAGUCAAACAAUUUCACCUCUUACUAGACACUCAAAUAUCUUCUUCGUUUAGGAACACGCUGCAAGGGAAAGUGCGUUCCAUUAACAUCCUUGAGUCGAGGCGGUAAGGUGCAAAGACUUUGUUGGAUAUGAACCCUAGCCUAUUGUUUGAAUUGAAAAUAUAUCGGCAAGACGAAUUAUAAUGGUAAACCGAAGUCAAAAUUCAUUAAAACAAAAACAAAAAUCUGGUGAAUCAAACUCAAGUCUAUGAUCGCUCUUACAAGACAUAACCCUCUCUCCCACAUCACUUCUUGUAAUGUUACUGCAAAACUCUCCAAAAAAGAAGUCAUCUAACUCUUUGGUGCAGUCUUCUCCUUAGCCUUCUGAAGCUUCAAAACCUUCUUCACAAUCUUCUGCUCUUCCACCAAGAAUGCCCUAACGAUCCUGUAGUAGGAGACAUAUUAGUUACAUUUCAAGAACUCAUGUAAUAACCUUAAUUAAAAAAAUUAGCUUACCUGUCUUUAACAGCUAGUCCAGAGAGAACACCACCGUAUGCACGGUUCACUGUCCUCCUGUUCCUCGACAACCUCGACCUCUUGUACUCAGCAGGUCUCAGAUGCGGUAUCUACACAAACAUAAAACAUCCAAAACUAAAGCCUAAACGAUUACAAGAAUGAAUCUCUCCACUAUGGCACUAUCUUACCAAUCUUAAACAAAAAAAGUUCUAACAUUCACUAAAAAUGUCUGAUUCCGACAAGUUCUUACAUCUAACCGCAAUCAUGUCUGAGUUCCGACAAAGAAUCAAAUUCGAAUUAAAAAAAAAAAAAAAUGACAAGGCAUACAUACCCCUUGGAUUCUCUUGCCAGUGACAGGGCACUUAGGUCCACUAGCUCUCUUCUUCGUCGUCUGGUAAGUCAACUUCCCACCUUCACAAACCAGAAACAAAAAAAAUAUCUCUUUAGAUCAAUCUUUACUAUUACAUCAUUAGAUCAUCGGUCGGUAACGUUACCAGGAGUUUUGACGAUGCGGUGUUGGUUGGAUUUGGUGGCGUAAGAGUGGCGUGACCGGUACACAAGCCGUUGAACCAUUUUCGCAAAGCUCUGAUGAAGUAACAGAACAAACAAUGGAAAGAGCGGCGCGAGCUUUGAUGGGGAGUUUAUAUAUCGCGGUUAAACCCUAGAUCCAACGGACGUGAGCGCUAGGCCCGAUAACGAGGCCCAUAUAUUCAAUAGCUUUAAUAAACUAACCAACCCGUACAGACCGGUCAAGUCCGGUUUGGUUAAAUGAUAUAUUACCGAUCGCAUGCAGUGUCACGUCCAUGGAUUAUAGUAAUAAAUAUGGACUGCACUCUGCAUUUGUUGUUCUCUCAUGUAAUCAACUGCAUGUGCACUCUGCAUUUGUUGUUCUCUCAUGUAAUCAACUCUGCUUAUGUUUUCUCCGUUUUUUUCCUUCUUUUAUUUAUUAAUAAUGUUUUAAAGUAGGUAUAUACGCUGGAAAAUGUGAUUGGCCAGUCCCUACAUCACAAGCACCAUCCAUACAUCACACAUGCAUUCCAUGUUAUAUAAGUCAAUCUUUAAUAAUAGCAAAUCAAAAUUUAUAUAUUUUAAGAAUUGCAUGCAUCUUAUAUUUAAUCUCCAUACUUAUUAUGAUUCAGCCAUACACUUGAAUAGAUGAUGUGUAUAUAUAUAUAUAUAUAUAUAUAUUAUCGUAAAAAUACUAAAUCUACAAAUAUAUCAUUUUAUAAAGUACAUAUCUCCCAUUUUUGUGGCCGUCGAAAUUUACGUACUAGUUUAAAAGAAAGUUGGAUCGUAUCCUACACUUCCUCCGUAUGAUAGUUCACUGAAAUGAUGAAACUGAAAUAAAAGAAGAUGUAAACAAAUACCAUUUUCAUUUCUCGAGAUUACACUUUGAGUUUUUUGUUUUGGUUUUAAUUACGUCUUCGAGUUGUUAGCAACAUAUGCAAUUUCAGUCCAAGUGAUUAAAAAAAUUACCUGCAUUAGUGCACAAAUAAAUUGACACAGCACAACAUUUGACAAAAGAGAGAAAUUAAAGUAGUCCCGUGACUCUUCUUCUUCCUUUUCCUCCGGCCUCGUGAACCCAAAUUGAUAUAUAUAUAUACAUAAAUACACAUGUACACAUAAAUAGAAAUGGUUGUAUGACUUGUGUCUAUCAAAUCCAGUAAUCCUCUUUAUCUUAUACCAAAUUUUCAUUGAAAUAGUAUCUCUGAAUCUCUUUGACCAAAAAAACAUUAUCUCUUAAAUCUUAAUCUCUUUACAAUUGGUUCCAUCUAAAAACCAAAAAUCGAGGACAAAACAUAUUAAAUCAUACUCCUUCUGUAUCAGAAUAAAUGGGUUUUAAGGUUUUUGCACAACGAUUAAAAAUUACAAAAUUUUAUUCAAUUUUUUCGUUUGUAUAAAAACAACAAUAAAUACAAAUAAUUCAACCAAUAAAAAAUCAUACUGCAAAACAAAAAUAGUCAAAAACAUAAAAUUGCAUUUAUUUUUCAUAUAAAAACUUGAAAACAUCGCUUAAAAUGAAACAAAAUUUUUAUCUUUUUUUUUUUUUUUUUGGACGAAUAAACAAAAUUUUUAUCUUAAAACACAAAUUAAAGUGAUAUGGAGUGAAUAUUGAUAUAUCUUUUCAUGUAUAUGCAUAUGCAAACAUUGUACGUAUCAGGAAGUCCCAACAUCAUGAAUGACCACGGAUCUGGGCAUAGGUCAGUAAAACAUUGGCUUUGCUCCCAAAAUUUUUUAUACAGGUAGGCGUCUAAAUUUUGAAAAAAAAAAUUAUUCAAAAAUAUUUCAAGCUCUCAAAAUUUUAGAUUCAGCCAUGUGAAUGACGUAGACCAUAAUGUAAUUUGACAAUGGCCAAAGACCCACUGGUUCAAUCCAAAACAGCAACUUUUUCCUUUUCUAUUUUCUUAACAAUAAAUAAUUCGUUUUCAUGGAGAACCGAAACAGCAAACAUGACGCGGAGAAAAUCUCGUUCGUUAAAAUACCAUCUCAACAAGUUCUAUUAUUAACAAAGCCUAUGCACUACACAUAAAUGCAAUAGGCACUAUUCAAUUCUUAAAAUUAUCGUAGCAAUAAAUCAAACACUAUAGAGGGAGAUAUCUUAUCAUAUAUCAUUAUCAUGUUAUCCUGCAUGUCCCCGUUAUUAUUGAUAUUUUAAAUAACACAACCUAAUUAUAAUAUUUUUUUAAUAUUAGGGUUUUUGAGAGGAGCAAGCCCACAUUGAAUGCCACGCGGUUUUGUGUAGAGGGUAGAGACUUUUCCGUUUGCCACACAGCUGACUUUGGAGGCUUUACGUCCACUUUUGUAGUUAAUGCUUUACACAUUUGUAUUUUACUUUAUUUUUAUUUAUUAAAUACUCGAUUUUGAGAGACCGAAGAGUCCAAGACCAAGAGGGGUCAGCAUAUAUAUAGAAGAAGAAGGUGGACAUAGACCUUUGUCGCCAAGCUUAACCAUUAGAUCCAUCCAAAGCGACUAAUAAGUGAGGCUAAGGUACUGUGACUCAUCAACAACUAAAGUUGUUUCAGUUUUCUUCUAUUUUCUUGGCAAAGAGUUGUAGUGAGAAUUUAAGAAAGGCAAGAAGAGGAAAGGAGGGAUUGUUAAUUCAUUUAUUGAUCAAGAGAGGUAUUAAAAUAAUGGUGAGGCCUCCUUGUUGUGACAAAGGAGGAGUGAAGAAAGGGCCAUGGACUCCUGAAGAAGAUAUCAUUUUAGUUACAUACAUCCAAGAACAUGGUCCUGGAAACUGGAGAGCUGUCCCCACUAAUACUGGUAUGUAUAAUCUUCAUUCUUCAUCUUUAUCUCUCUCUCGCGGUGAUAUAACUAUAUAUAUAUAUCUUAAGAUUUGUAUAUAUUUUACAUAGUAUUGGGGUUAUGAGGGUGAAAGAUAGGAAAUGCAUAUAUAUCAAUAUGGGUAUGGACUGAGUUUGGUUAAUAUACACUUUGUUUCUUCUCCAAAAGGGUUUGAUUGUGGAAUUAGCAUAAUCAAAACCGUAUUCUGAAACUAAUUAGAUAGGGUUUUGUUAUUGACCUUAGGAAGUUAGGAGCAAAAAUUAAUACAUGAAAUUUUGUUAUAUAUACACGUGAAGCUUAAGUUUUUACUCAUUGGUUUUUAUUUUAUUUUAACCUUCAUCGUCAUUUGUAAUUCAGGGUUGCUUAGAUGCAGCAAGAGUUGUAGGCUUAGAUGGACAAACUAUUUAAGGCCAGGAAUCAAGAGAGGCAACUUCACAGAACAUGAGGAAAAAAUGAUUGUCCAUCUCCAAGCCCUCUUAGGCAAUAGGUAAAUUUAAUCAAUCAACCCUUAAUCAAAAGAUUAUUUCUCUAAUAUUAUCUCACGCAACUUUUUGAAAUCAAGAAAAGUAAUACAAAUAAUAGAGGGCAUUUAAUUUUUUGGUGUAGAUGGGCUGCAAUUGCUUCAUAUCUUCCACAAAGGACAGACAAUGACAUUAAAAACUAUUGGAACACUCAUUUGAAGAAGAAACUCAACAAAGCCAAUCAAGAUUCUCAUCAAGAACUUGAUCAAUCAAGAGAUCGGUCCUCGCUCUCUUCUUCUCCAUCAUCUUCUUCUGCCAAUUCGAACUCUAACAUACCAAGAGGUCAAUGGGAAAGAAGACUUCAAACUGAUAUUCACUUGGCCAAGAAGGCCCUCUCUGAGGCUUUGUCGCCUGCCGUAGCACCGAUCGUUACGUCAACGUUGGCCACUACGGCGACAACAUCAUCUUCUUCUGAAUCAAGACGUUCUUCUUCCUCAACAUGCGGUUUUCUUCGGGCGCAAGAAACAUCUACCAGAUAUGCCUCUAGCACCGAGAAUAUAGCGAAAUUGCUUAAAGGGUGGGUGAAGACCUCACCAAAGACUCAGAACUCCGCUGAUCAGAAGAAUCCUCCAGAUUCUGAGACAAAAGAAGUGAUGAGGAGUGAUGAUGUUCAGGAAGACUGUGCAGGGGGAUUUCAAGCAUUUUCCGGGUUUGAUAACUCGAACGAUUGUGACUCACCAUAUCAUCAGACUAAACUUUCACCUGAUCAUGAGACUAAACAAGACAUAACUGGAUGUAGUAACCAAAGUCAAUUGUCCUUGUUCGAGAAGUGGCUGUUUGAGGAUUCUGGUGGACAGAUUGGUGAUAUUCUGCUGGAUGAAAACCCUAACUUCUUCUGAAUAACUUGGUUAAUCAGAUGGUUCUAAAUUUAGGAUCCUCUUUGUUUUUUCUUUUUCUGAUUUUUUUUUGGGAUUUCCGAAUUAACUUGCUUAGAUUAUCGUGAGCUAAGUCUCUAGUAAUUUUUUUUAUUUUUCUCGUUAAUUACACAAUUAAUAAUGUUGUGUUUUACAAAUGGUCUUCUGAAUUCUUAAGGGGGCUGAAAUAUGUCCACCCAAAUAUUGAAGUAUUGGUGAAAAAUCAUAUAUCUUUUAUUUUUCUAUUUAUCAAAUUGUCAUUUUGAAUUAUUGUUUUUCUUUCUGAAGCAUGUUAUGUUUGAGAUCUCAACAUAAAAAGAAUCUAUAUGCUACAAUUCAAACUUAUACAUUAACGCCAAACAAAACUAAAUAAAAAGACGGAAAUUCAAGCUUAGCUGCUUGUUAAAUACUCGGGGUUGUAGUUUAAUAUUGUUGUAAAUAUAAAAUGUGAUUUGUGUGUAGUGGAUAAAAACUACAGUCAUAGAAAAGUAAAAUACUUCGAGCACUAUUAGUGGCGGUGUUUUGAAAUCCGAUCCGGAUCUUUGUUUAAACCGAUAAAUUCGGUGACCCAAAUAUAAUUUGAUUUGGAUUUUAGGAAAAACUAAAAACCGAUUAAAACCCACAAAAAAUUACUAAAACUCAGAACUCAGCAACCGGUUGAACCACUGGUUAAACCAGUAAGUAACUUUUAUUUCUUUUUCAGAUUUCUUAAUUAUGUUAUUAAAAUUUGUUUUUUAUUCAAAUUAAAAAUUUAGGUUUUUAGAUUUUACUAGUAUAUUUUUCUGCUGCCUGAUAUCAACUAUGUAUCUCCCUUUUAUUAUUUUUUGUGAAUCUCAAUUAUACUAUUUAAUUUGUGAUUUAUUUGUGUGUUUUCAAAGAUUUUGAUGAAGAUUUAUUCCAUUUGAAAAAAUAAAGUCAACGAUGAUAGAGAUAACCAAAAAUUAGUUAGUGUGAUGUGGUCGAUAUUAGUUUAUUUUUUGUUAUCGAUAAUCUAUUAUUACAGUUUAAUAUUUAACUUUGGUUUUUUUAUUUAUAGUUUAAUUUUACCAUUCACAUUUCACAUUUAAAUACUUAUGGAAUUCAAGUCUUGAUAUUUUUUAUUAGAUGUCAUAAUUUCUAACUUAUUACAAAAAUUGUUAAUUAGUCUUAAUUAUUUUUGAUAGUUUGUAUGUUAAAUGAAAAAGAAAAACAAAAUUUAAGUGUUUUCUAAAUAUUUUUAAAACAUAAAAUAUGUAUUAUAGUGUGUUUCCAGAAAAAAAAAAGACUAUAGCGAUGCUGGUGCUCUUAGUACUUAACAACUUGCCCUUUUAUAGACAGAUCACUCAAAAAAAUAUUACAUGAAGAUUAUUGGAAGAUGAAUUUGUACAGAGUUUGUGAAUUUUAAAAGUUGAUAUAUUUAAAAAAAUUAUGUGAAUUGUGAAAAUUUAUAUACAAUGACUUAUAAAAUUAGAUUAGUAUAGAUUUUCUGUAUUACUUUUUCUAUCAUUCUUUUUGUAAAUCAUAUAGCAUGAUUAUUUAUUCUUUCAAACUAAAAAAAUAAAAAUAUUAAUACAUACAAAAUUAAGCAAUUCUUUUAAAUAGUUUCUUUUAAGUUUUUGUCACAAAACAAAUACUCAAAGAAGAAAAUGAUCAAAAGAGGUUUUAUUAAAAAAUUAAAAGAUUAUUUUACCCCUUGUUUAUAGAUAUAUAAAUAAUAAAAAUAUUUUUUUUAUUUUGAAUUAUAUGUUUUAAAAUCUGAAGUUUUUUUCUAAUUUUUAAACAACCUUUCGAUUUUUUUUUCAAAAAAAUUUGUCAAUUUUUUUAAAUACAAAAAUUCUUUUGAAACUAUUUUAAAAUUUUUUAUUUUAUUUUUAAAAUAUUUAUAAAUAUAGUUAUAUAUUCAAAAAUGAUAAAAGAAUAUAAAAAUAAUUAUAUAUCCAAAUAUGUAAAAGUAUAUAAAAUGUAAUGAAUUAUAAUUUUGGAUUUGGGAUUUGGAUUUAAAGUGCAAUAGAUAUUUGCUAAGUAUAUCUGAGAGAAAUUAAAGUAGUCCCGUGACUCUUCUUCUUCCUUUUCCUCCGGCCUCGUGAACCCAAAUUGAUAUAUAUAUAUACAUAAAUACACAUGUACACAUAAAUAGAAAUGGUUGUAUGACUUGUGUCUAUCAAAUCCAGUAAUCCUCUUUAUCUUAUACCAAAUUUUCAUUGAAAUAGUAUCUCUGAAUCUCUUUGACCAAAAAAACAUUAUCUCUUAAAUCUUAAUCUCUUUACAAUUGGUUCCAUCUAAAAACCAAAAAUCGAGGACAAAACAUAUUAAAUCAUACUCCUUCUGUAUCAGAAUAAAUGGGUUUUAAGGUUUUUGCACAACGAUUAAAAAUUACAAAAUUUUAUUCAAUUUUUUCGUUUGUAUAAAAACAACAAUAAAUACAAAUAAUUCAACCAAUAAAAAAUCAUACUGCAAAACAAAAAUAGUCAAAAACAUAAAAUUGCAUUUAUUUUUCAUAUAAAAACUUGAAAACAUCGCUUAAAAUGAAACAAAAUUUUUAUCUUUUUUUUUUUUUUUUUGGACGAAUAAACAAAAUUUUUAUCUUAAAACACAAAUUAAAGUGAUAUGGAGUGAAUAUUGAUAUAUCUUUUCAUGUAUAUGCAUAUGCAAACAUUGUACGUAUCAGGAAGUCCCAACAUCAUGAAUGACCACGGAUCUGGGCAUAGGUCAGUAAAACAUUGGCUUUGCUCCCAAAAUUUUUUAUACAGGUAGGCGUCUAAAUUUUGAAAAAAAAAAUUAUUCAAAAAUAUUUCAAGCUCUCAAAAUUUUAGAUUCAGCCAUGUGAAUGACGUAGACCAUAAUGUAAUUUGACAAUGGCCAAAGACCCACUGGUUCAAUCCAAAACAGCAACUUUUUCCUUUUCUAUUUUCUUAACAAUAAAUAAUUCGUUUUCAUGGAGAACCGAAACAGCAAACAUGACGCGGAGAAAAUCUCGUUCGUUAAAAUACCAUCUCAACAAGUUCUAUUAUUAACAAAGCCUAUGCACUACACAUAAAUGCAAUAGGCACUAUUCAAUUCUUAAAAUUAUCGUAGCAAUAAAUCAAACACUAUAGAGGGAGAUAUCUUAUCAUAUAUCAUUAUCAUGUUAUCCUGCAUGUCCCCGUUAUUAUUGAUAUUUUAAAUAACACAACCUAAUUAUAAUAUUUUUUUAAUAUUAGGGUUUUUGAGAGGAGCAAGCCCACAUUGAAUGCCACGCGGUUUUGUGUAGAGGGUAGAGACUUUUCCGUUUGCCACACAGCUGACUUUGGAGGCUUUACGUCCACUUUUGUAGUUAAUGCUUUACACAUUUGUAUUUUACUUUAUUUUUAUUUAUUAAAUACUCGAUUUUGAGAGACCGAAGAGUCCAAGACCAAGAGGGGUCAGCAUAUAUAUAGAAGAAGAAGGUGGACAUAGACCUUUGUCGCCAAGCUUAACCAUUAGAUCCAUCCAAAGCGACUAAUAAGUGAGGCUAAGGUACUGUGACUCAUCAACAACUAAAGUUGUUUCAGUUUUCUUCUAUUUUCUUGGCAAAGAGUUGUAGUGAGAAUUUAAGAAAGGCAAGAAGAGGAAAGGAGGGAUUGUUAAUUCAUUUAUUGAUCAAGAGAGGUAUUAAAAUAAUGGUGAGGCCUCCUUGUUGUGACAAAGGAGGAGUGAAGAAAGGGCCAUGGACUCCUGAAGAAGAUAUCAUUUUAGUUACUUACAUCCAAGAACAUGGUCCUGGAAACUGGAGAGCUGUCCCCACUAAUACUGGUAUGUAUAAUCUUCAUUCUUCAUCUUUAUCUCUCUCUCGCGGUGAUAUAACUAUAUAUAUAUAUCUUAAGAUUUGUAUAUAUUUUACAUAGUAUUGGGGUUAUGAGGGUGAAAGAUAGGAAAUGCAUAUAUAUCAAUAUGGGUAUGGACUGAGUUUGGUUAAUAUACACUUUGUUUCUUCUCCAAAAGGGUUUGAUUGUGGAAUUAGCAUAAUCAAAACCGUAUUCUGAAACUAAUUAGAUAGGGUUUUGUUAUUGACCUUAGGAAGUUAGGAGCAAAAAUUAAUACAUGAAAUUUUGUUAUAUAUACACGUGAAGCUUAAGUUUUUACUCAUUGGUUUUUAUUUUAUUUUAACCUUCAUCGUCAUUUGUAAUUCAGGGUUGCUUAGAUGCAGCAAGAGUUGUAGGCUUAGAUGGACAAACUAUUUAAGGCCAGGAAUCAAGAGAGGCAACUUCACAGAACAUGAGGAAAAAAUGAUUGUCCAUCUCCAAGCCCUCUUAGGCAAUAGGUAAAUUUAAUCAAUCAACCCUUAAUCAAAAGAUUAUUUCUCUAAUAUUAUCUCACGCAACUUUUUGAAAUCAAGAAAAGUAAUACAAAUAAUAGAGGGCAUUUAAUUUUUUGGUGUAGAUGGGCUGCAAUUGCUUCAUAUCUUCCACAAAGGACAGACAAUGACAUUAAAAACUAUUGGAACACUCAUUUGAAGAAGAAACUCAACAAAGCCAAUCAAGAUUCUCAUCAAGAACUUGAUCAAUCAAGAGAUCGGUCCUCGCUCUCUUCUUCUCCAUCAUCUUCUUCUGCCAAUUCGAACUCUAACAUACCAAGAGGUCAAUGGGAAAGAAGACUUCAAACUGAUAUUCACUUGGCCAAGAAGGCCCUCUCUGAGGCUUUGUCGCCUGCCGUAGCACCGAUCGUUACGUCAACGUUGGCCACUACGGCGACAACAUCAUCUUCUUCUGAAUCAAGACGUUCUUCUUCCUCAACAUGCGGUUUUCUUCGGGCGCAAGAAACAUCUACCAGAUAUGCCUCUAGCACCGAGAAUAUAGCGAAAUUGCUUAAAGGGUGGGUGAAGACCUCACCAAAGACUCAGAACUCCGCUGAUCAGAAGAAUCCUCCAGAUUCUGAGACAAAAGAAGUGAUGAGGAGUGAUGAUGUUCAGGAAGACUGUGCAGGGGGAUUUCAAGCAUUUUCCGGGUUUGAUAACUCGAACGAUUGUGACUCACCAUAUCAUCAGACUAAACUUUCACCUGAUCAUGAGACUAAACAAGACAUAACUGGAUGUAGUAACCAAAGUCAAUUGUCCUUGUUCGAGAAGUGGCUGUUUGAGGAUUCUGGUGGACAGAUUGGUGAUAUUCUGCUGGAUGAAAACCCUAACUUCUUCUGAAUAACUUGGUUAAUCAGAUGGUUCUAAAUUUAGGAUCCUCUUUGUUUUUUCUUUUUCUGAUUUUUUUUUGGGAUUUCCGAAUUAACUUGCUUAGAUUAUCGUGAGCUAAGUCUCUAGUAAUUUUUUUUAUUUUUCUCGUUAAUUACACAAUUAAUAAUGUUGUGUUUUACAAAUGGUCUUCUGAAUUCUUAAGGGGGCUGAAAUAUGUCCACCCAAAUAUUGAAGUAUUGGUGAAAAAUCAUAUAUCUUUUAUUUUUCUAUUUAUCAAAUUGUCAUUUUGAAUUAUUGUUUUUCUUUCUGAAGCAUGUUAUGUUUGAGAUCUCAACAUAAAAAGAAUCUAUAUGCUACAAUUCAAACUUAUACAUUAACGCCAAACAAAACUAAAUAAAAAGACGGAAAUUCAAGCUUAGCUGCUUGUUAAAUACUCGGGGUUGUAGUUUAAUAUUGUUGUAAAUAUAAAAUGUGAUUUGUGUGUAGUGGAUAAAAACUACAGUCAUAGAAAAGUAAAAUACUUCGAGCACUAUUAGUGGCGGUGUUUUGAAAUCCGAUCCGGAUCUUUGUUUAAACCGAUAAAUUCGGUGACCCAAAUAUAAUUUGAUUUGGAUUUUAGGAAAAACUAAAAACCGAUUAAAACCCACAAAAAAUUACUAAAACUCAGAACUCAGCAACCGGUUGAACCACUGGUUAAACCAGUAAGUAACUUUUAUUUCUUUUUCAGAUUUCUUAAUUAUGUUAUUAAAAUUUGUUUUUUAUUCAAAUUAAAAAUUUAGGUUUUUAGAUUUUACUAGUAUAUUUUUCUGCUGCCUGAUAUCAACUAUGUAUCUCCCUUUUAUUAUUUUUUGUGAAUCUCAAUUAUACUAUUUAAUUUGUGAUUUAUUUGUGUGUUUUCAAAGAUUUUGAUGAAGAUUUAUUCCAUUUGAAAAAAUAAAGUCAACGAUGAUAGAGAUAACCAAAAAUUAGUUAGUGUGAUGUGGUCGAUAUUAGUUUAUUUUUUGUUAUCGAUAAUCUAUUAUUACAGUUUAAUAUUUAACUUUGGUUUUUUUAUUUAUAGUUUAAUUUUACCAUUCACAUUUCACAUUUAAAUACUUAUGGAAUUCAAGUCUUGAUAUUUUUUAUUAGAUGUCAUAAUUUCUAACUUAUUACAAAAAUUGUUAAUUAGUCUUAAUUAUUUUUGAUAGUUUGUAUGUUAAAUGAAAAAGAAAAACAAAAUUUAAGUGUUUUCUAAAUAUUUUUAAAACAUAAAAUAUGUAUUAUAGUGUGUUUCCAGAAAAAAAAAAGACUAUAGCGAUGCUGGUGCUCUUAGUACUUAACAACUUGCCCUUUUAUAGACAGAUCACUCAAAAAAAUAUUACAUGAAGAUUAUUGGAAGAUGAAUUUGUACAGAGUUUGUGAAUUUUAAAAGUUGAUAUAUUUAAAAAAAUUAUGUGAAUUGUGAAAAUUUAUAUACAAUGACUUAUAAAAUUAGAUUAGUAUAGAUUUUCUGUAUUACUUUUUCUAUCAUUCUUUUUGUAAAUCAUAUAGCAUGAUUAUUUAUUCUUUCAAACUAAAAAAAUAAAAAUAUUAAUACAUACAAAAUUAAGCAAUUCUUUUAAAUAGUUUCUUUUAAGUUUUUGUCACAAAACAAAUACUCAAAGAAGAAAAUGAUCAAAAGAGGUUUUAUUAAAAAAUUAAAAGAUUAUUUUACCCCUUGUUUAUAGAUAUAUAAAUAAUAAAAAUAUUUUUUUUAUUUUGAAUUAUAUGUUUUAAAAUCUGAAGUUUUUUUCUAAUUUUUAAACAACCUUUCGAUUUUUUUUUCAAAAAAAUUUGUCAAUUUUUUUAAAUACAAAAAUUCUUUUGAAACUAUUUUAAAAUUUUUUAUUUUAUUUUUAAAAUAUUUAUAAAUAUAGUUAUAUAUUCAAAAAUGAUAAAAGAAUAUAAAAAUAAUUAUAUAUCCAAAUAUGUAAAAGUAUAUAAAAUGUAAUGAAUUAUAAUUUUGGAUUUGGGAUUUGGAUUUAAAGUGCAAUAGAUAUUUGCUAAGUAUAUCUAUUUUGUUUUCUAAUUUUUUUAUUACAUAGAUUUUGAAAAUCACAUAGAUACAUAUGAUAUUUUAAAAGUUGAGUUUUAUUAGUAAAAAUGAAUAGAAUUCAUCUUAUAAUAACACUAGAUUUAGUUAAAAUUAAAGAAUCAAUAAUAACUAAACUUUUUGAAUAACAAAUGAUUUCAAUGAAUUUUAAAUUUUUGUAAACUAAUAAUAAUAUACUCUAAUAAGAUUUUUGAAAUCGAAAAACCAAUAACAUUGAAUUCUCAUUUUUUUAAAAAGUUUACGAGAAUUCCCUUAUCAAUAAUACCCCUGCAUUUAUUUUAGCGUAAAACAGCGGAGCCGCUCAGUAAAAUCAAAUCGUAGAUUUAAAGAUAGCCUUAAGGAUUUUAACGACCUACUAAUAAAAAAAUUAGUACUACUAGUACUAGUAAAGAAAAUUAAACAAAAUAUUUAUUGCGUGAAAUAAAUGGGGCCGACAAACUAUUUAUUAAAAACAGAAAAUAAAUUAAAAACGGGAUGGAUUGGAAGUAUUACUGUUGAAAGUGAUGAAGAAUUAAAGUUUGACUUUCUUUCUUGUGUGACCUUGUGAGUUAUGACUUGCAUCAAAUAGUCAUUAAAGUACUAUAAGAAAAGUCAAUGUCACCAUCAAUUUAGCUACUCCUUUCUUGUUAAGAUAAAGCCAGUUGUCGUGCGAUGGUGAAAAUAGUAGAACCAUGUUUACAAAAGUGAACCGCUUGUGUUAUUGUUUGUUGGAUUAUGGUUCAAUUGACCUAACCGAUUAUUUCAAAAAAAUUGUCUCACCAAUCUCGUAUCAACAUGGAAACUGUAAUCCAAAAAAAUAAAAAAUAAAUAAAGAGGCAAAAUAAGUAGCAGCAACUUUGCUGUAAAGCAAAUUAAGCAAUGUACGGCAAGAACCUUAUGAAAUUUCUUGGCUUUUGAUUUAAUUCUCUUCUGCCGUAAUUUGUGUUAUUGUUUGUUGGAUUAUGGUUCAGUUGACCUAACCGACUAUUUCAAAAAAAUUGUCUCACCAAUCUCGUAUCAUCAUGGAAACUGUAAUCCAAAAAGAAAGAAGAAAAUCAAAUAAAGAGGCAAAAUAAGCAGCAGCAACUUUGCUGUAAAGAAUGUACGGCAAGAACCCUAUGAAAUUUCUUGGCUUUUGACUUAAUUCUCUUCUGCCGUAAUUUUAUGAAACUUUUUAUCGAUUAUAGAACAGUAUAUAAGUGUACACAAUAAUAUAUAGAUGUAAAUAUUUCACAUACAUCUCGAUGUAUAUACCUGUACAGUUUCUUUGCAUGUGUAUAAUAGAAGGUAAAAACUACACUACAAUGUUAUGUGCAUAUAUGAUUGUAACGAAAUAAAUAGUUUACAUCAGGUCCAAAUUCAAGGAGGUAUAUCUUAUGAAUAAUUAGCAAACAAGUAGAAAAUUUGAAGCACUUGUGUAUUUCUAGAAUUCUUUGUUGCUUAAUUGAAUAGGCUAGACGUUAAUCAAUUGUGAAUAUUUGGCGAGCUUUGGUCUUGGGUCCGAGGACUUCAGCCCAAUGGCAAAGAAAAGGGUGUUAAAAAGGAGCUGAAGAAUCAUGUGCGGUUCAUGUGAUCUCAAAGCCCAACGCCUCCCUUCUAUUUAUUGCAACCAUAUUUCUCGCUUAGUCACAUGUUAAUACUACAUCAGUUUGUUUUAAAAAAAUUUGAUGUUUCAAUAUAUAAGAUAUUUUUAUUUUUCUAGGUAAUUUUUUUACUUUAUUAAAAACUGUGCAAUCAAUCAUAUUUGAUAAUCUAUUUUGUAAUUGGUUGAAUAACAUUAAUUUAUAGUUUUAAUGAUAUUUUCUAGAUAAAACAAUGAUUUUUUUAAUAUGCAUGUUUUUACCUAAACAUCUUAUAUUUAGGAACAGAGGGAGUAUGUUAUUUUGAUUGGGACAUUAAUUAUUUAAUAGCAGAGUGCCUAAUUAGACUAGACGAUAAAUUGUUGAGUAUCUACCAAGGUUAAUUAAGUACAUCCUAUAGUACAGCAGUACAGGCGACAAUAUGUUAUUUUUCAACUUCAUAUGUUUAAAAGAAAGUUUCAAGUCUGAAGUUAUGGAUCAUUUGAUAUAUUCUUUUUAAAAUUUAUACACUAUAUCCAUUAAGCAAUUUAUUUAAUUUUCUAAACUCACGCUUCAUUAUUUGAUAUUACAUGAAUAAUGAAACCUAAGAUUCCUUAUCCCAAUUAAAACAUAAGAUUGACCGCUGAGUAGUCAAAGAUUACACAUCACUAAUACUAAUGGAAGCUGGGAAUGAGGGUUGGGUUGUUGAGACACAAACUCUCUUUGCUUUAUUUCAUUAAUUAAAUCUGUAUCCUUAUCAUAAAUCAUAACCAUCAUUACUCCACUAACCACUUUGGCUUUUGUAAUUAACGAAUUGCAAUCUUACUUUGUAAUGCCUUGUAGAAAGAAAUUUAAUCAUUUUGAUUAUUCUAGUUACUUACUAGAUGUAUAUAGUUCAGAUUUAUUUUCCUCUGGGUUGAUUUUACUGCGCCUCUCAAUAUGAUGACAUUUUCAGUUCAUCUUAAACUGAACCAAACGUUAGACACAAUAAUAUAUCUUAUCUGGAUUAUUCGAUUUCGCUCAAAUUCAAACAUUAAUAUGUGACAAAGUACUUCUAACUAAAAAAAUAAAUAAGCAAUUAUUGAUUCUUAAUUAUUAUCAUAUUUAUGUUACUGUAUUAAGUAUUACUCUUAAGUUUCAUUUUAGGUCAUAUGUUGAAUUCCUAACAAAUGCGUCUAUUAGAAAUCGGGAACCACAAGCGCUUGGUUAUGCGACUAGUUUUUUUCAAUAACAUCUCAAGAGUUACGUCGAAUCCAAAGGUUUUGCAUUCUUAUAUCUAAUUUCGAAUGGGGAAAAUUUCAAAAAUCUCCUGCAUGAUUAUCCGAGAUUGAUGGAACAUAUGAAUUGGAGCAUUUGAUGUCAACUGAAAUACGAAUGAAUGUAUGCACGUGUAAUUGAAAAAAUCAAGACGUAAUUGCAAGUAGCAAAAGAUCGUGAAGGAUUGCGUUGUCCUCAUAAUGUACAAAAUAGGUUUGGUAGCCCAUCUUAUCAGUCCCACGUUUUUAGGUCGAAAUGUACAUUUAUACACACUAUUUUUGUUCAUGCAUUUUCAUCACGCGAUCUACACAUAUUGAUUGUUAUUUAGAUUACAUACAAAUUUAAAAUUUUUGAUCGUAAGUCAACAAAGUGGGUCACAGUACCACGUAUCCAAUACAGACAGUUCUUAUCUAUGCAUAGUAUUAUCUCGAAGUCGAUACUAAGUCAUAUUCUUUACGACACGUAUAAAUAGUUUUCGUAAUCAUACGUACGUGUUAUUAGAACAUAAUGGAUGAAGAAGAAGAAGAAAACAUGGGGUUAAGGGGCCACCACAGUACAUAUUAGGUCUUCCAUCCAUUAAUGGGCUCUUAUGAUUAAAUUAUGACUUAAUAAGGUGAUUUGAGAACUUAAAAACCUUUGAUAGUGCUAAUGAUUUUUUUUUUUCUCAGAUAGAACCUCGUAGAGGUUCUUAAAUAAUUUUUUUUUUUAAGUAGAACAAUUUAAAAAAAAAACAUACAUAGAAAGAAGAGAAAAGAGAAACAAUGAAAACAAAAAGAGAGAGAACAAAACAACAACAAGACCAACAAAUGUUGGUUGAAAGUGUCGUUGAAAUAUAGAAAAAAAAAGCAAGAUGAUUACAAAAAUUUAGAGAUAAAAAAACAUAAUUGGGAACCAAACUGGUGACAGAAACCACUCGUAUAAAAAGAUCAGACAUAUAAACGUAAUGGUCAUGUAUGCACCUGGACAAUCGAAUAUAAGGUAAUCAUCAUCUCGCUAGUUAUCCAAUUCUUCAUCCACCCAAUCAUGUAAGCUAUCAUCAAGGUAUCUGUGGAUUAAGAGUUAAGGAUUCUCCAUGCAAUUUUCUAACAUAUAAAGGCAACAUAAUUAAGACAGGAGGUAGUUAAAUUCUCAUUUUAUGUCUAUGUAACAACAAAAAGGAUACUCCAUGCAGUACAUGAGGGCACCAUUAGGACCAAGCCCGACCUCCUCCAUUACAUCUUCCAAAGAAACAAGUUCUCUGAUAUCUGCAAACAGCAAAAAAGUGUGAAACCAAGAAAUUGAGAGGCACUAUAAACCCAAGGGAUUUUGAUUGAAUAACUCACCAAAGAUCGACGGUAGUGGAAGUAUGAAACAAAUUCAGACGGGCAAUUUUUACACAGCACCUACAUCAAUAACAUUUAACUUACUAAGCCCUACCAGAAAAUAUGGAGGUAGACCAAUGAUUAUCGAGUUGUUUUUUUUACCUCUAUAGGAGUUGAUACUUUCUUCUCACUUAUUACAUCAUAUUUCUGUUUCUUUGUCCCAGCUUUUAGUCCAUGCCAUGGUAACAAAGCAAAAUCUUCCACAAAAACUCAAAUAAAGCAAAGAGAGUGAAUGAUUCUAAAAGAUGCAGGAAGCUGUGAAUGUGUCGCUUGGGAACUUGCUUUCGUACCCAUUUGUGAGAGCUGAAGUAGUGAAGAACACGCUUGCUAUAAGAGGAGCUCACUACAAUUUUGUCAAAGGCACAUUUGAGAAGAGAGGAAAAGAUCCGGUUCGGUGACGAGAACGCCGUCGACGGCGAAACCGGAAACAUAGUUGUUCGUGACGACGAUCGAGUUUCUGGGGAGGAGAGUCGGGAGGCGAGAGAGAGGCUGCAAGAGACGGAGAUCGGUGAAGGAGAGACAUUGAGGAACGAUGUGAUAAGCGACGGAGAGACGACGACCGUUGGUGGAGGAUGAGGAGAGAUUUCGACAGAAUCGACGACGAACAAACAGAUCAAACAUCAUCAAGCCUUGGAGAUUUCGACAGAAUCGAACGCUAAGAGUCGAUGACAUCGAAGAGGAGAACGAAAGAGAGAGAGACAUGACUUUUUCCCUUUCGUCUAAAAUGAACCAACCAAUACCCUGCUGCCACGUCUAGGGUUUUUACCGAUCCUAAACUCACCUAAUUAAGGACCGGUUCUGUUUAAUAACACCAUUUUUUAUUUAAUUUUUUCUCUUUAUUACUUUAGAACCUCCAUCUCAACCUACCGAUGGAGGUGGUCUUACAAAUACAAGCUUAGCUGUUUUCUUCCUUUUAGAACCAAUCACUUUGUUUGGUCUUAAAGAAAAGCUUUAUCAUCAUUUUAGGGUUUUCUAGCAAAAUUGAACAUUAGUUGCAUCCACACAGCACCCACUUUUCUAUAUUAUAUUAUUCGCUUGCUUAUGGUUAUGAUUAUUAAUCAGUUAGUUAAAUCCAUAAAAUGAUUACUAAGCGCUAUGCUGGUUGGAAUAUAAGAAGUGUUUUAUCUUCUUCUGAAAGUUGCAUAUAGCAUCAGUUUUGGGAGAAAUUCAUCUAAAACGACAAUAAUGUCAAUAAAGACGGGUGCCUAACUCACAAAGUGGUGGCUCACUGGCUCCAGAUCUCGUGGUUUAUAUUGCAAGUGAACGUUUUUAUGUAUCUCCUAUCUUAUUGACAUUUUUUGGUUCAUACAACGAGAAAUAAAAAAGGCUUAUGACAAAUAAGUCUCUUUUCUAAGCCUAGCGAAGUUUCAAAUUCUGAUUCAGCAUAACUUGCUCAAUCUUUUCUAACUGGUGAGUAUUCAAGAAAAAAAUUUAGACUUUAUUACAAUAUUACAAACACAUGUGAAUAAAUGGAUAGUUGUGGACGCCAAAAGAAAAUUAAAUUACAAAAUAUAUAUAUGUACAUACAUGUAUGAUGUACGCAUUUAAAAACAAAUCUCUGGUAAAAUAGCUAGGUAAGUUUUCACUUUUCAUCUGUGAUGAUACAUGAUACAUUCCUUGGAAAUGUACAUGUACACGUCUAUAAAUACAUAUACGUAUUACUGACAUACACAUGCAUAUAGAAUUUUCUAAGUGGUUGUUUGUUGAUUGCUAUAAAUAUAUCAUCUAGGGUUAGGGUUAACAACUGAGGGCCUCUUGUAAUUAUCUCGAGCUUUCACUCUCUUUCCAUCUCCCACCGUAGAAAAUUAGAAAUUAAAAUUAACAAAAAACUUUAUAUAACUUUUUUUUCCUUUUUCUUCUCAAAUAUAUAGCUCACACUAAUACAUUAUCAUAUACAAGUUAAGAUUUCACAAAAGAGCCAAGAAGAAGAACUAUGAGGAAGCGUCAAGUGGUGUUAAGGAGAGCAUCGCCGGAGGAGCCUUCUAGAAUCUCCUCGACGGCUUCCUCUCGGAUGUUGAGAGGUGUGAGAUACGGCGAGUGUCAGAAGAACCACGCCGCAGCAGUUGGAGGCUACGCCGUUGACGGCUGCCGGGAGUUCAUGGCAAGCAACGGAGAGGAAGGUACGGUGUCAGCGCUAACUUGCGCCGCCCGUGGCUGGCACCAACGGUGUCAGCGCUAACUUGCGCCGCCUGUGGCUGCCACCGCAGUUUCCACCGGAGAGAAACCGAGGUUGUUUGCGACUGUGAGUCACCUCCCUCGAGUGGGAAUUAGACCAGCAAAACUAGAGCUGGCUAAAAAAUUGUUCCUGUCUUUGUGUGUUAUAUAUUCUCAUAGGGUGAAACUGAAAAUAUUAUAGCUUUCUUAAUGUCAAGGAUUUGUGUCUCUUUAAGAAUUUUCAAAGUACACUUAUUAUAUAUUGAAAGUGGUAAAAGAUUUAUUGUAAUUGGAUGCCUUCUGAGUUUGAGAAUGUUUUGGAAAAUUGGGUUUUAAAUAAAAUGUGAAGAUUAUUGUUGUUUCAUGUUUUAUCAUGUUUGAUCUUUUUCGGUAUUGGUCAUAUUUAUGUAUUUUAAUUUGUUUGUCCAACCAUAUAUCGUUCCAAAGCUAUUUCCACUUAAGACAAUUGUUAAUUGUAUUGUGAAGUGGAUUGGUAACAAAUUAAAUAUGUGUAUCUUUUUAUGAAUGGAUGAGAAUGAGAUUUGAAUGUUCCUUUAACAUAUUUGGAAGGUUCUUCUCUUCUGGUGAAGUUAUAUGAAUAUAGUAACACAAUUAUUGGUUCCCUCAAUUAAUUCUUCGAUAUAUUUUAAUUUGAUUUUUUGAGACCACUCCUUUAGUUUUUGUUUUCGCAUGAGAAUUGUGGAGUUAAGCUUGAAACUGUUGUUCUCUUAUAGCACUAUUACAUACUUGCUGUUAUUUUUUAAUUAUGGCAUGAUAAGAUCAACUUCCUUCACGAAUAUGCCUUGCAUAUAUACAUGUUUAUAAUUCUAAAAUAGUAUUUUUUUUUUUGAACUUAAUUAAUUUUAUUAUUCUAAUCUUUUAUUUUUGCUUUAGAAGUGAGAUCUUUCAAAUUUUUAUAUGACAUGAUUAGAACAGAUAAGAAAAUAACUUUGAAAAAAAAGGGAGGAAGAGGCCCACAAAUCUUAUCCUUGUUGGUUGCUAACUUGCUAUGAUGUUUUUAAUUGAUUUAUUAAAGAACCGUUAAGGCUAAUGAUCAUUCACAAUAAUGGCCUGUGACUUCUGAGCUUUUGUCUUCUAUAAAAUCAGAAAUAGGUGGGAAUUAAUCUAAGUACGUACAUUAACAAAGCAAUAAAUAUAACGAAGGAAUGCCAAAAGAAGAAAAAAAACGACCUUGAUAUAACUUCAAAGAGAUUGUGUUGUUAUUACUGCUAUAAAUUAAUUACAACAUUCUGUAUCACAUUUAGUUUGUUAAUUGAAUUCAAAAUUAACAUAAACAACUGAGGAAGUUAGAUAUUUUCGUACGAAGAAACUUAGAUAUCUUUGGCUGGUUUAUAGAUUUGAAAUGACAUGUGAACUGUAUCAUCAUGAACGUACAUUGUUAGGUAUUUGAGUAUGGAGAGAAACAAUUCCAACUGCAUAUAUUUGUUAGCAACAUUGUGCCGAACUUGGUCAGGCCAAUGUCGAUUUUAAAAUCCCUAAAUUUUCAUAUAAAUAUUAAAUAAUUGACAUAGUAAAAUGAGAAAAUAUAUUAUGUAUUUAUAUAUAUAUAUAUAUAUAUAUUACUUGAGAAACAAAUAUUUAACAUUUUAUUUUGUAUCAAUUUACAGCACAUGUGAUAGAGCUAAAUGAAAAAAUUUUUUUCAAGCGGGUUUAGAUCAGCACAUAUUCACAUCAUAUUUCCAAUUUCUUUAUCAUGAAUCUAGCUAGUUAUAUUUCUAAGUUCUCACACACUCAUUCACUUGCGACUCAUUAAUCAUAAUACAUAGUAUCCCAUCGUGAACACGUACCUUACAUUCCAGUUCUGAUAUUCAUGAUAUCUUACACUAUUCGCAACUCCAUUUUCAUAUCGAUCCUUGGUUCAAUCCUACUCAUGCUGUUUAUUAGAUUUUAAUUAAGUUGGCCCCCAUGACUCAACUGGACGUCUGGACCCAACAUAAUUAAAUAAAAGAGAGAACUUUUGCGAUUCGAUUAACCCCGAGGAUUACGAGCUAGCUACUAUGGAUUGUACAUAUAUCGACCUAAACUAAACCAAUUAUCUUCUAUCGAUCUUCAAAAACUUAGCAACUGAUUAGGCCAAAUUUAACAUUUUACCAAAAAAAAAAAUUGAUUAGGUCAAAUCGUAUCUUAUAUAUUGGUUCUUCAAAAAACCGAUCCAGUUUAGGUGAACAUAGAGAUCACUGAACAAUUAAUCCUAGUGAACCAAACAAAUAUUAGAGACUAUUUUGGUUUAUGCUGGUUUACUAUUUGUGGAAACCAAAAAAGCGAUUGGGUUCACUAACUGAACAUGUAGAAUCAUGUAUAGGAAAUGGAAAAGGAUCAGCAGGAGGUUUUAAAUCACCGGAAGUAACCGGAGAGCGGCUAAGGGCGUUGAUUAUACGGCAUGAGCCACCAUUGACUGACGAAUAGAAAAAAAAAAAUCAAAAUACUUGAAAUUUUGAAAAUUUAGCAACCCUUCUCCGUCUAGAUUUAGACCUUAAAUUACUCCAUUAUUAGUUCUAAAAUGAAAUAUCACUCACAAAUAGUCUAAUAACAGAAUUGUUGUGGAUGGUUUUCCCGCUACCAUCAGUGUAUUAAAAGUUUUAGUUGAACAAAAUUUAUUUUGUAUGUUAAAUGAGUGAGUCGGCUUAAUGUUUAACCUAAAAGCCCAAAAUUGUGAAUAAGCCCAUUCAUAUAUGUUAUUUUUCCUUCACAAGACACCAUAUUAAAAUCAUAGUUAUUCUUGGGAACUAAGAGGUUCACCAAUCAAUAGGAUUUCAUUAUUUCAUUAUUUCAAUUUCGAUAUCUUUUUAAAAGAAACAAAAUAUUUUUAAAAAAGUAUUUUUAACGUCGCCAGCAAAACACUAAACCCUAAAUCCUAAUCCCUAAACCCUAAAUCUCAAACCCUAAACCCUUGGGUAAACCCUAAACCUUUGGAUAAAUCCUAAACUCUAAAUAAAACACUAAACACUGAACCUUAAACCCUAAAUCCUAAACCCUAAUCCUAAACCCUAAACUCUUGAGUGUUUUAGCGUUUAUUGAUUUUGAUUUAGAGUUUAGGAUUUAUCCAAAGGUUUAGGGUUUAUCCAAGGAUUUCGGAUUUAGGGAUUAGGUUUUAGGAUUUAGUGUUUUGCUGACGACGUUAAAAAUAUAUAUAUUUUUAAUUACUACUAUUUUUUUAUUUAUUUCUUUUUACUUUUUAAUUUUAAAAGCAUAAUAUAAUUUGAUAAUAUUUUGUUUUCUUUUUUUAAAGAUAUCAAUUUUGAAAUAAUGAAAUCUAUUGGUUGGUGAAUUUAUAAGGAGUGAACCUUAGAAUAAGUCUAAAAAUCAGACGAAAUAGAUAUUUCCAAAAACAAAAGAAAAAAAGGAAAGGAAAACAGCGUAAAAGGAAACUACAAAACCCUCAAUCACCGUCAUCAAAAGGCGUCAAGAAGCAGUACUGUAAUUUUUUUAUAAACGGUAAAAAACAGUACUAUCUUGUGGAUUGUGGUAAAAUCCCAAAGUCUCAAAAUCUCUUUAAACUCUUGUUUUGAGUGAAAUAAGCUGUAAUUUUAUAUUUUUUUAUCUAGAAUUAACGCUGAAACCUUUUUUUUUGUAGCUGUUUAAUUAUUUUCUGUAGAAUGUUUGAUAUAGAUUUAAAGAGAUUUAAUUAUUUAUUUAUAUUUUUUGAACCAAUAUAUAGGUGUUCUAAAUAUUUUGUUUUCUAAAAGUUUUUUUUGCAGUUUUUAAAAUCUUUUUCUAAAACAUAAUUAAAAAAACUAGUUGCAAAAAUUUUCUAGAACAUUUUUAAAUUAAAUACUCGCCAAUCAUCACCGAGGUUUCUUAGACUAUUGUUUCAGUAAUCGUCUUAGAUCAUUGUUAGUGGUCAGACAUACUCUUACCCCCUGUUCGGAAUCGCGCUAGGCAUUAGUCGGGCGGUUGUCAUGGGCCUAGCGAAUUAACAAAAAGUCGGAGAUUAGUCGGGGAUUAAUCGGGGCCUAGUUUCUAAAUAUUUAUCGAGCUUAUAUAUAUAUAUCAAGUUAACUUUGCAUCGAAAAUACAAUGAUUCUCGCUAGCUCAUGUGGUAAGUGGUGCGCACUUUUGUUAAAGCACGCGGGUUCGACUACGUACGUCGUCUGUUACGUAUAUUUUUUUAAUUCUUUUCUUUUAAACGAAGGACAAAAUAGUAUUUCACCAGUCAUCUUCGUCAUUGACCUAGUUCUGUAAAUCGACGCCUCCAUUUAUGUAUCAGUUUUUUCACACGUUUAUACAUUUUAAAAUCAUUCCGUAGCUUCUUCCUAUCAAAUCUUUUGUAAAUUUAACUAUAAUACACUUUUUGAAACACAAAAUGAAACAAAAAAACGAAAAUUUCUGAAAAAUCCGAUCAAAUCUCCGAUUAGGGUCGUUUCGCCACGGUGGUCGGCCGCCUGGACCGAGUUUUCGAACAGAGCUCUUACCAUAUAUAAUAUUAAUAGUUUUGUAUUUGAUUAAUUGUUUAAAUUUAUUGAAAAAGAAGGUUCGUGCAAUUAUAUUAUGACACGUGUGUUUGGAUUUCUCAAACAUUUUUGACUAUCUUAAAUUAGAUAUUCAUUUGACGUAAAAAAUAGAUAUUCAUUUAAAAUUUUUGUUUUCUCUUUUUUUUCUGUAUUUUUAACAUAUUUUAUUAUCUAAAACCUCUUUAAAAAUUUGCUUAAUUCAAAACUUAUUUUAUUUAUUAGAUUUUAAAAAUAAAUAUUAGAUUAUUAUUGCUUUAUUAUGUAUAUAUAAGAAUGAUUUAUUUUUAUGUAUUAUUACCGAGGAAAAAUGUAGGAUAUGACAUCCCAUAAAUAUUUUUUUUUAAGUUAUAUAUUUGUUAAAUAAAAAAAAUUGAGUGGUGAAAGUUUUUUUCCAAUGAGUUCAAACCAAAAUUAAGUUUUCAUGUUGAGGAACCUCAUUGUUAGUGUGCUAUCUUAUAUAGAGUCUUAGGAAAGGUUUAUGAAUAUUAAACAAUUUUUAUAGCCACUAUAAUCGAAUUUUUUGUUAUCAAAAUUACUAUAGACUCAAUUAACCAAACUAGAACUACAAUCGCUUUUUAUGACAAGCAAAAAUAAAUAAAACCUGAUCUUUUUAUAGAUGCUGAAAAGUGAAAAGAACACAAUUCACAGAUGGUUAUGGAAUCUUCAGCAUCUAUAAAAAUAUAAACAUAAAAUUAUGAAAUGGGUGUUUUAACCACUGCGAUCGUUUUCAUAGGUGUUCUCCAAUUUAUUCUCCCGGUCAUUUCUUAUUUUUAUUUUAUUCUCCAAGAAAAAAGACUACGAAUAUUAAUUUUUUACUUAACAGAAAACGUGUUUAAUUAUCACAUGGUGGAUUAAAAGGUUUAGUUUCUUAAAAAGAAACUCAUCUUGAGAAGACAACAAUAAGCUGGUACUUUUGGUCAAAAAAAAAAAAAAAGCUGGUACAAGUGGUUUGAGCACAUAAACUCAUAUUAUUUUGUAUAAAUACGUCUCCCUAUAAUUAAUUUUCAACCAGAGGAUGUUAUCUAGAUUAUGUUCAUAAGUCUUUUAAUUGUAACACGUGUUUCAUAGGUUCCUUUGUUUAUUUUUUUUUCAUAUAACAAUCAUCUUAUAUAAAACACACAGGAGUGGGAAAAAGAUACACACAAUUUGGUCUUUGAUUCCCCAAAUCUCAGCUUUCUCCGAAUAAGUAUAUUACUAGUAAUUCAUGCUAUCCCACUUCAUUCUUUUUUUUUUCGCCAUAUAAAAUUUAAAACUUAUGUUUGCAAGACUUACUAUUUACCAACAUGUGGUCAACAUAUGAAGACAAGAAUCAUUUAAUUGUUCUUUGUAACAUUAUUAUUAUUGUAAAAUUCUAUGAGUGGUGCUAAAAAUCCAUAGAGGCAUGUAUUUGUCAAUUUACCACAUAAAACUGAUAAAACAUCGUUACACACCUAUGACCAAAUACAUUGUAAACUUAGAUAAAACGGAAAAUGUAGAGAAUAAACUAAUGCUGGAAUAUAAUAAACUAAUGUUGAAUGUACGUCUUAAAUCUUACAGGAUGAGAUUUUCUAAAACUCAAAGAUAGAGAACCGUUGAACGCAAAUCGCGUUUCCUCAAUAGUUUGUGAUUGCAAAAAGUAAAAAUAAUAGAGAAUCGCUGCACAGAAAAAUCACUUCAUUUUGGACCUUCAUAAUCUUUUUUUUUGUAUAACUGAUUGGACCUUUCCCAAUCAAAGUAUAUUAUAUCCCAUUGGGAAAUUACGUCGACCUAUAUUAUUAUAUAUAUCCAGAUAGCUAGCGAACCUUUCCAAAUAUAUACAGUGAAAUCUCUAUAGAUUAAUAAAGUUGGAACUAGAACAAAACUAUAUUUUUUUAUUAAUUUAUAAAGAUAUUAAUUUAUCGAUAUAUUAAUUGAACCAAAAACUCGAUUUAAAACUAUAAAAUAGAUUUUUAGUAUACAUAAAUUUAUAAAAUAUUAAUUUAAAGAAGUUAUACUAGAUGUACGAUUUUGUAACCAUUAGUUACCUCAGGAACAUUUCAAAUUAGUAAGUGGUACACUGUGCACAUGGUAUAUGGCAGUUAGGGCCAAAACCUCAGCAUGUGUUUAAAAGUUUGUCCUCACCAUGAAAAAGAUAUCUGUGACUUCACGAAAUGCGUAAAAUUAUGGCAAGUAAUUUAUUUUAUUUAUUAUAUCAACAAACCCCAUGUAGAGAUAAAGCAAUUUUCUAAUCUAAUUGCAUAUUUAUGCUUGUUUUGUUUGGUAAACCGACAUUUGCUAAUCAAGACUAUCUAAAUUGUCUGGCCAUCGCAUAAUCACUGCUGCAUCUAUUCUUUUUUUUUUUUUUUUUUGACAUCGAAAAAUUAUAUUAGACUAUCAUGCUCCUGUUAAGCCAGUCUCAAUAGCUAACCAACUGGGAGCUAGACCGCUUACAAAAUCUGAGUUUAUUUCACGUGAUCGGGCACCUUUUGCUAGGUGAUCCGCACGGACAUUUUCUGAUCUAGGAAUAAAAGAAAUCGAACAGCUACGAAAAUCAUUGCAGAGGGCUUUAAUCUCAUCAAGUUCCACAGCCAGAGCCGGCCAUUCUUCCUCCAAAUGCACAAGUUUUACCAAUUGUUCGCAGUCUGACUCCAAGUGGACCUCACGCCAUCCCGCAGUUAGCAGCUCUUGCAUUGCCCAUAACAUACCUUCUGCUUCUGCGUGAAGAGGUGAUGAUGUUUUUAUAUCUCCUUUCACUCCAAACAGAGUCGGUGCGUCGUCCUUCAGGAGCACAAAGCCCAGUCCCGUCGCUUCGGUUGUGCUUUUCCACGAUGCGUCUACUUGGCAUCGCCACUUUUGUAUAGUACUAUUUUGCAACGUCAUGGCUUGUACUGGCCGAUCUUCUGUUUGAGUCUCUGUAAUCUCUGUGAUUAUUUGGGCUAGCUUCCAGCUCUCAGCUUCCUUUUGUGCGAAUUGGACAGUGUCGUCGGGUGCUAUGUCCUUUCCGUUGAAGGUUUUUUCAUUACGUGCCUUCCAUAUGUACCAAGCUGUCCAUGGAAAAGCUUCCAGCCUCGUUGGGUCCACUCCUCGUUCUUUUGCUCUAUGUAGUAGGUAGUUAAUAUUCUCAUAUAGAGAUUGACACGGAAAGAUUCCCGGAGGGGAGGGCACAGUAGAUAGUGCCCAACAUUGUAGCGCAAGAGGGCAGAGGAACAGAGUAUGGUUGAUCGUUUCUUCAUCAGCUCCACAGCGGGGACACGAGCUGUCUUGGGUGCAGUGGCGUUGUUUUAGUUGGGUCGAUGUCGCAAGGAAUCCCGAAGUGGCUUGCCAUAGAAAGUGUUUCAGUUUCCGUGGAACUUUAACCUUCCAGAUCGCCUUCUUGAGUGCUGUUGUGCUUGGUUCGAGACUGAGAGGAACCACAGACCUCGUUAUGAUCCCAUGUGCCACUUCAUAUCCUGAUUUUACUGUGUAUAGCCCAGACUUUGUGAAAUCCCAACAUAAGCAAUCAGGUCGACCUGUCCUACUAAUCCUUAGUGAAAUGAUCGCUGGGAUGUCUGCUGCAUCUACAAACUCUUUUAGCAUCUCUAAGUUCCAUGUCUGAGAGGCGAAAUCAAUCAGAUGGUGCACUCUUAGUUCAGGAUCCCAGUGUAAAUCUUUUGCUCUCGCCGGUCUCGCUGGAGUUACUGGAAGCCAUGGAUCCUCCCAUACUUUUGUGGCGUGUCCAUUCCCAAUUUUCUUCCUGAGGCCUUGCUGUAAGACAGGGCGUGCUGCAAUUAUGCUUCUCCACCCAUAUGAUGGGUUACUUGCCGAAUUAAUCAUCAUCGGACUCGAAUGCCUGUAGUACCUGCCCUUGAGAACUCUUGCUAGGAGAGAGUGUGGAUAUUUGAGGAGCCGCCACAUCUGUUUCGCGAGUAAGGCCAAAUUAAAGUCGUGAAAGUCACGAAAUCCCAAUCCACCGCAUUCCAGCGGGACACAUAUCUUAUCCCAGGCAACCAAAUGCAAGCCUCUAUUAUUAGCUUUCGUACUCCACCAGAACUUUGAAAUAGCACUACUCAGUUUCUUUGUGAUACCUUGAGGUAAGAGAUAGCAGGACAUGACGUACGUUGGGGUCGCUUGGGCUAUCGACUUGAUUUGCACUUCCUUUCCCCCUUUGGAUAAUAAUUUCCCCGACCAUGAGUUAGUGCGAUCAUUCAUCCGUUCUUGUACGAAGCUAAAGACCUGUUUUUUCGAACCACAGAUUUUUUCAGGAAGGCCGAGAUACAUUCCCAUACCGCCUUCUUGGUUAAUUUGAAGCGACCUUUUCAGGUCAGUUUUUGAGGACGCCACUACCUUGGAACCGAACAGAACUGAAGAUUUUGACAUAUUCAGUUGUUGUCCCGAGGCGUUACCGUAGACGUCGAUGAUUCUCAUCAGUUCCGUGCACUCAGAAACCUCCGCCUUACAAAAGAAGAGGCUAUCGUCCGCGAACAAUAAGUGAGAGACCGGUGGGCAUGCUCUAGCAAUUUUCAUGCCAGUAAGCUUUUUGUCGUGUUCAACAUGCUUAAUCUGAGAGAUCAAUACCUCUGUGCAGAGGAUAAAUAAAAAUGGCGAUAAGGGGUCGCCCUGUCGCAGUCCGCGAGAUGGUAUUAUUUUUCCUUUAGCUUCUCCAUUUAGGAGGACUUGGUAUGAUACUGAUGUAACACACUGCAUGAUUAGAUGAAUCCAGUGGCUCGCGAAACCCAUUUUCUCCAUAAGGGAAUCAAGAAAGCUCCAUUCCACUCGGUCAUAUGCCUUGCUCAUAUCGGUUUUUAUCGCUACAUAUUUGCUUUGGCAACUCGGAUUCGUCCGUAGAGCAUGGAACAUUUCUUGUGCCACCAGAAUGUUGUCUGUGAUGAGUCGUCGAGCCACGAAGGCUGAUUGUGUUUCAUAGAUUAAUUUCGGCAUCAUUCUCUUUAGCCGUGAAGCUAACACCUUCGAGAUUAUCUUGUAGCUGACGUUACAUAAGCUGAUUGGUCGAAAUUCCGCCAUCGAUUUCGGUCGCUCCGUCUUGGGGAUUAGACAUAUAUUUGUCUGAUUGAGUCUCUCAUCCAUCUCUCCCGUAACAAAUAAGUGUUGCACCGUGCUGACUAUAUCCUUUCCAAUCGUCUUACAGAACCGUUGAUAGAAGAGACUGGUCAUCCCAUCCGGUCCCGGAGCUUUUUCUGGAUUGAUGGCGAACACAGCUUCUUUAAUCUCAUUCUCCGAAGGUGUCUUUGUGAGCGAUUCAUUCAUUUCUUGUGUAACAGACGCGGUAAUAUACAGGAAGGCUUCUUCUCUAUCACCUGGUAUAGAAGCUGUGAACAGGGUACUGAAAUAGUCUGUCGCUAGCUUCUCUAGACCAUCCUCAGUUUCCACCCAGUUCCCCAUGGAGUCCAAGAGCUUAGUAAUGUGAUUUCGAGCUCGGCGUUGUUUUGUCUUGGCAUGGAAGAACUUCGUGUUCCUAUCACCUUCCCUGAGCCACACAGCUCGACUUUUUUGCUUCCAAAAUAGUUCUUCUUCGCGGUAUGCUUCGCAGAGUUUCCAUUUAAUUUCCCUGCUGCAUCUAUUCUUUUCUCUAAUGGAAAGCUAUUUAAAUUAUUUGUAAAGUUAAUGAUUAGUUCUACCCCUUAAACCCUACCUUUUUUUGAACGACCCCUUAGAGCAGUAUUAAUGGGAGUGCUUAGACGGAAAAGUUUAGCAAAAGAUCAAUAUAAUAGUGGAUGAGACCCACACAAAAAUUAAGCACAUGUACUUUUUCUGCCGAAUUAAGCGCUGGUGUUAGCCAUGUUUUGCGGGCCCCACUGACACGUGGCGGUCCGUGAUUGGUUCGCUUUUAAUUUUUUUUUUUAAAUCAGAGAAAAAAAAAAUUAAGCGGGUUAAUGGUGCUCUUAUAAACCCUACCUACUAGCACUUCAAUAACAUUAGUUAGUUCCCAAAUUAUAAAUUUAUGCUUGUUUGUUUGUACUUGAAGAAUUAGGAAAUCUUGAGAAUAAUAUACUUCCUCCGUUCCUAAAAAAAUUAUGUUUUAGAAUUUUCACACUUUUUAAUAAAACAUGUUAAAAGUUAACUAUAAAUGCAUAAUUUUUUUGUAAUUUUAUAUUUUCUAUAUUUUUAAAUCAAUAAAAUUUUAAAAAAUGCAAUUAAUGUUCUUGAACUUCACAAUUUCUCAUUAUUAGUUGACAAAAAUUACAUUAAAAAUAUAAAAUAUGUAUUUUUUUGAAACAAAUGUUUUCUCAGGAAUGAAGUAUAUCAAAACAGGUACCUACCGGGAAUGUAAGGAUGAAAGGAAAAAUGGAUUAAUGAGGAAAUUAAUCUAGAUUAUCCAAUGAAUCUUGGGUUCCAAUAAACAAAACACGACUAAUCAUUGGAUACUAAUAUAACAUAAUAAUUAAUAUUUAACAGAUUUUUUAAAAGAAACUGUCUUUUUUCUCGAAGAAUAAAGAGAGAUCUACGAAAAGGACACCUAGAUCUUAGUUCGAUCGCAUAUUAAAUUAAUCGACAAAAGUACUUUCAAGAUAAAAAGCCAAACAAUAAUAUUAUUUAUUAAAUAAAACUAUUAAAUUGCACUAAUUUAUUAAUUUCUGGGAAACUUGCACUUACUUUAUCUGAUCAAGCACUAAUUUAGGGUUCAUGUGAUUUACCAAAAAUCGACUUAUAGUUGAGUUACUAAUUCGGGUGAUUAGUUGAGAUAAACCUUCCUCUUAUGGAAAUAUUUUCUGAGCUACUCAACGUGUUAUAUUAUUAACUCACUGAGACAACUUCGUGGUAAUGAGGAUCAAAUUAAAAUCGGAAAACAAAAUAAUGAGUAGUAAAAACAAAAGCAAAAAAGAGCUAAAAGAGUUUUAUCGAUAUAAUAAAUUGUAUUAAGACGAUAAUAGCAGUGCUUACUCUCUAUGAUCUAAGCUAAACAAAGCUUAAGCUUCAUUAUUGCUCUUUCCCGAAGAAGAAGACGAGCCAUUAGCGUUUCCGCCGUCAGCUCCAUCGCCGUGUAGGUUGUGCUCUAAACCGUUUCCACCGUGAACGCCAUCAUCCUUGGCGUUGUUAACUGCUACGUCGUUGUCAACGCAAUGUACGGUGGUUCCGCCAGCGACUGGCUGGUCGCGGCGGUUGUUGAAGGUGUUUUUGUUAUUGUGCAUCCACACCUUGAGUACUCCUUUAUCGACUCCAACCUCACGGCAGAAGUCGCGCACGUCGUCCUCGUCGCGCUUCUGAAACUUCCACCCGAUACGGUCGGCGAACUCGUGCAUCUUCUCUUUCUGAGCUUGGCUGAACUUCGUCCUGAACCGCUUGCGAGAGCCUGGGGUAAGGUGGUGAGUGGAGAGGUUGUUGGCGGCGAAGUUGAGAUCUGAGAACGGUAAGCUGUUUCCGCCGGGUUUAUUGGUGCCGGAGAGAGCGAGUAGCAUGUAAGAGGAGGAUAUAGGCGGCGGAGAAGAGGAAGUAGGGCUGCGACGGAGAUGAGGAGCCGGUGGAGGUAAGAGGAAGUGGGGCUGCGACGGAGAUGAGGAGCCGGUGGAGGUGGGUGGUGACGGUGGUGAGGCUGGUACUCGAGUGUGGAAGAUGGAGGAAGAGACGGUGGAGGCACGGCUGAGGUGAGAGAGGAAUCUUCAGGGUCACGGCGGUGGAAGUUACGGUGGCAACCGCAGGCGGCGCACUUGAGGGAAGUUG
This 77556-nucleotide long non-coding RNA is filed under the name Brassica napus (rape). Its description in RNAcentral is "long non-coding RNA (BNAP_LNC022397)". The record is from RNAcentral. Lineage: Eukaryota; Viridiplantae; Streptophyta; Magnoliopsida; Brassicales; Brassicaceae.